AUGAGAAGGCCUAUUGCUGUUGGAUUUGUUUAAACGUGCUCAUUGCUACCAUGAUCCUCGAUUCCCUGAAUAUAACACACUAUAUUGUUCAGUUUAGUUUUAAUAAACCGAUUGUAUACUCUUGUUAAGCAUAUUUUUAGGACAAAACUCAAAAGAGUUUUUUUUUUUUUUUUUAAAUACAACCAAACCAAGUUGCUUUCUUAUAAAAUUGAAUAAUUUGUUUUCAUUUCAUAAUAUUAAAUUUAUUAAACAUAUGUUAUUAUAUUAAAGUAAAUUUUAAAAUAAACAGAAACAUAAUAUUAAAUUUAAUAUACAAAAAAAUGACAUUAUUUUUAAUGUCAUAUAAAAUUAAUUAAUUAAUAUUAGUACAUGAGAUGUGUUCAAACCCAAUGAUUUAUUUAAAAAAAUUAUAAUAAAAACAAAUAUAUCAUUUUUCAAAGUAAAUUUAAAAGAAGACGAUUAAAAAGAAGAUGGUAAUGGUCGUCUUUGCUUUGACUUCAUGAUAAAAAGCGUGGGAGAAUUUUAUUUGUUGCGAAUUGUAAAUGAUAAUUCAGUGUGAGGCCGUCAUGCAUUGAAAAAAGAGACGAGUUGUUAAAUUCCAGUCAGAUGCUUUCAAUUUAUUUAAUGGUGGGUCUCUUGCUUUCUUUCCUUUUCUUUUCUUUAAUAAGCUUAGCAUAAUUGUUACUUUUUCAGCUGCAAGGUACCAUUACUUUUGUCCAUUACAGCUCUUCUCACCGUUCGAUUUAAUUUAAUAUUUACAAUUUAUUAAAUAUAUUUUAUUUUAUUAAAGUAAAUUUUAGAAUAAACAGAAGCAUGAUAUUAAAGAUACAAAAUAUUUAAAUUAUUUUGAAUGUUAUAUAAAAUUAAUUUAUUUAUAUUAGUACACGAGAUAUAUUUUGUUAAUUAUAGAAUUUAUUAAACUCAAUGAUUUAUUUUUAAAAAAAUUAUAAUAAAUAAAAAUAUAUUAUUUUUCAAGAUAAACUUCAUCGAAACCCGAAGGGCUCUAGUUACCUUGCAACAGUUGCAAGGUAUCAAAAAUUUUGUUUUCUUUGUGAUUUCAAUUUUCGCUGUUGGACUUAAUAAAAAAACUAGAGAUUUGUUUAUUUGAUUAUUAACAUUAUACUCCCUAGUAUAUAUUUAAAACUAAAAAAAAAGUUAAGUAGUUAAAAUUUUUAACACAUAAAUCUGAAUUGUUUCAAAUUUAUAUUGACAAUUAGCUAUGAGACUUAAAAAAAUAAAUAUUAUUUUUUAAUAUUAUUUAUUUUAUUUAAAAGAAUAAAAUUUAAAUAUUGUUUAUUUAUUAAAAAUAGAUAUUAUUUAUUUUACUUUAUUUAAUAUUAUUUAGUCAUAGGCUUAUUAUUAUAUUUAUUCUUCCAAAAAACUAUUAAUGUUAAAUAAAAUAAAAUUACAUUUAAGAAGGUCAUCAGUAAAAGCAUACAAAGUUAUAAAUAAAUUGUAAAUGAAAAAAAAAGUAUGUAAUAUUAAAUAAAAUGAAAUUACUUUUUCAAAGGUUACCAAUCAAAACACAUAAACUUAUAAAUAUACUGUAAAAAAAAAGUUAAGGAAUUAAAUAAAAUUUAACAUUACAAAAGAAAAAAUUAGUAUUGCGUUGCAACAGUUGCAAGGUAGAUACUUUCAAUUAAUUUAAUGAUGGGUCUCUUGCGCCUUUUUUUUUUUUUUUUUUUCCUCCUCUCUUGAUAAGCUUAUAGCAUACUUGUUACUUUUCCACUAUAUAAGUGGGAAGUGUAAUUUGAACUGCAAAAAGUUUUAUUAACUAAAUUAGUUGGCACUAAGACAACAGAACAAUUUAAGAAAGGAUCUUACUAAGUCAUAUUUCUUAAAAAUGCUGAAAUUUGAAGUUACCUUCGGACUUCCCCUUUUCUUCAUAUUUUCUUCAGAAAUAGCAAUAUAUUGAAUUCUGAGAGGUAACCUUUCACAUGUAUAUAUAUGAAACUAAAAGAAGCUAUAUGUGUUGUGUGGUUUAACUGAAUAUUAUUAAAUUCUUUUGGAGCGGUGCACGAGACUUACGAUUUGAAAAUUGUUCGUAUGAGUGAGGAGGAGUUUAAUUUUAAUUUUAGGCUUUCGAGGGAGACAGUUGAAAUAAAAUAAAAAAUCUAAUAAUUUUUUCAUUUCAAUUUAUUUGGCUUGGGGUAUAUUCUCUGACAGCUUGCUUCGUGAUUUCUGUAUUUGAGACGGCAACGAUGAGACCAAUAAAAUGUUUUAGAAACAUUGAAGCAAGGUAAUAGUCAACGAGAUUUCCUGAAACCUCAUAAAUAUCAUAAAGGCGGAGAUUCUAGUAGGAACAAGCUGUAGUACCUACAAUAUGUAUUUUUGGAAAAAGAAUACUUACACACCCAAAAUUUAAAUCAAUAAUUAUGUAUACUCUCAAAAUUUUAAUAAGAAAAAUCAAGAUCUCUCUUACAACUAUAAUAUUUUUUUACUCUAUUAACUCAAAAAGAUUAAUACCAAUGUUUUCUAAUAAAUAUAAAUAUAUUUUUCAAAUAAAUAUUAUAUAUAUAUUUUAAAUUAAUUUCAAUAUUUAAAAAAUAUUUUAAUACUUUACAAUCUUAUAUUAUAUUGAACUAAAUUGUAUAAUAAACAAAAACAUAAUAUUAAAAUAAAUAUAUAAAAAUUUAAAUUAUUUUUAUAUUAUAUAAAAUAAUUUUAAUAUUAUUAAUACAUGAGAUAUAUUUUAUUAAUUAUAAAAUCUAUUUAACCCAAAGAUAUGUUUAAAACUUUUAUAAUAAAUACACAUAAAUUAUUAAAAUAAAUUUAAUAAUUUACAUUUAAAAAUUAUUUUAUAUACUAAAAUAUUCUUAUAUUAUUAGUCUACUAGACAAAUUAACAAUUUAACUUAUAUUUUUAUCUAUUAAAAAAUUUUAAAGUUUAAUUUUUUAGUUACUACAUACAAAGAGUAUUAUAAUUAAAAAAUAAUAUUAGUGUCCCUGAUAAAAAAUUUGGGGUUUAUAUAAUCAUUUUUCUAAACCUUGGAUGAUUAGAUGUCCUUUUCCCUAUAUUUUAUUGUUAAUUGCUUCAAAAUGUCUGUAAGAAAAAUUAUAUAAUAUAUAAUUAUUUUGCUAAUUGAAAAAAAAAAUACCAUUCAAAAUGUCCGUAAGAAAAUUUUUGAAGCAAUAAGCAAAUCAAUUAUAAAAGUCAUCAAGGAAACAUAUAUUUUCUUAAAACAUCUUAGAAUAUAUAAUAACGAAAUUAUCUUUUAAUUAUUAGGAUUGGAUUAGAUUAGAUUUAAUUGGAUUAUAUAUUAUUGUCUUAUGUUUGGUACAAUAUUACAUUAGACUAUAUUAAAUUAUAUUUGAAUGAAAUUAAAUAGCAUUUAAAUUGACAUUUAAAUAUAAAUAUGAACUAUUUAUGAAUAUUUAAUAAUAAAAUAAUUAUUAAUAUUUAUUUAAAAGAUAGUUAAUUAAAAUUAAAUAUAUAAAAAAUUAGUUAUUAGCCAAUCCAAUUAUAAUAAAAAAUAUAAAUUAAAUUAAAAAAUAUUUAAAUAUUUAUUUUAAAUAUUUUAAAUACAUUUUAUUUUAUCGGAAAGUUAGCAAAUAAUAUAAAAGAAACAAAUUACUGAUAUUAUUAAUUUUCAUGAUUACCUUUAAUAUAGUGAUUAUUAAAUUAAGUACUACAUUAGAUAUUCAAGUAAUAAUUAAUUAAAUAGACAAUUAUUUUUAAAGUUAAUCUUAACUAAAUUCAUGUUUCAAUUGGGAUUGCUAAUCCCAUGAUCUUAAGACUAAAUUUAAAUUUAGUCCCAUAAUCUAAUCCAAAGUAGAGCUUGCCAAAUAUAAGAUAAAUAAUUAAUCUCAAAAUCAAUCCAAUCUUACUCUUAAUCCAAGCUCCCAAACAUAGCCUAGAUCCUAACAAUAGGAUAUACCCAUUUUACCAUAAAGUGUCUGCUUGGACAAUCCAACUAAGCAAUGGCAACUGUCAAAGUUAACUUGUGCAAUGGAAGCUCUCAUAUGGAUGAUGGCGAAUCUGACGUUGGUUAAUUUUGUGUGCAAUAUGAUGCCAAUUCUGGGCGGUAAGAUAAAUCCUUCUUUGUGCUUGCUUUAAAGCAUUUGAUUUACUUAAGACUUCAGCUAUAACAAUCUGGUUACCAUUUGAUUCCUAUAUUUCUUGGUUCCAUUAGGAAUUUCAAUUCCUUCUCAACCAGGAAACAUAUCCAAUUCGCAAUAUCGUGACCUCAAUUAAGUUUUUAUGGGGGCUUGUAUGUACAGAAUUUAAAGAGGUUAUCAGAGUCUUUCGUUGUUGAAGCACCUUGAUUUAAGAUGUGUGAACCUUGGGAAACCCUCUGGUUCAUGCUAGUCAAAAACAAUUUUGCAAGUCUAAUUGUGUUAAAAAAAUGGUCACUAUGUAAACUCCAUCACUUUCCUGUGAUACCUAGUGCCAACCUUUCCUCUCUGGUCACACUUGAUCUUCACUACAAUUCCUUAGAUAAAUAUUUGAUUCCUAGUCAAGUUUCGGAUCGUCGUUUUUUAGGGCUCUUUUGGGAUUGCUUUUGAACAGUUUAAAAAUAAUUUUGAAAAUCUAAAAUGUAAUUUUAUUAUUUAGUAAAAAAAAUCAAAAUUACUUUUUUCAAAAUUAGUCUCUCCUACAUCUGAUUUUAAAAAGCAGGGAUAGAAUAACUUUUAUAUUCUAAUUUUGAUAAUUAAUUUUAUCAUUUAAUACAAUUUCAUAAAUAUCCUUAAAAUUAUUACCUAAACUCAAAAUUAUGCUUGUUCAAAUUGAAAAUAAAAUCAAUAAUUUAAUAAAUUAUUAUUAUAAUUCAUCAAUAUAAAUUUAUUAAUAUCAAUUUGUUGUUCGAAUUAUUAUUAAAUUUGUUUCACUAUACUAUAAAUUUAAUUAUCAAUUAUUUUAAGAUGAAAAUUAAAAAUAAAAUCAAUAUAUUAUAAAUUUUAUUUUUAGUUAAAAUUAGUAUAAUACACAAAUAAAAAUAUUGUAUGUACUUAUUUUUAUAUGUAUAAGUAUAUUUUAUCUGAUAUUAUGUACAUUUUAGCCAUUUAUUUUCUCUCAACAAUUUAACCAUAAGAUUUACCAAACAUUUAUAACUGUUUUCAAAACUCACAGCAUUUCUGAAAAUAAAAUUUACCAAAUACUUAACUAAUUUUCUUCACAACUAAUUAUUUCUACAGCACAAUUAACAACAAUUAUUUAAAAUUUACAGCAUUUUCCAAACUGACUCUUAGACUUUCUAAAUUUACACAGCAUUGACUACCAAGGUCCAAUUCUUGAAGGAUUUCAAAACUUGAGUUCACUUGAUUUCAAUUCUUCAAUUUCGAAAUGGUUGUACAUACAGAUUUAUUCCAACUUUGAUGAGCAAGUACGACCAGAGAUGGAUUGAGUCACAAAGACCACUAACCCAACUAGGAAUCAAAUAUUUAUCAAAGUGGCUGUUGUAAGGAGGAAGUGUGAUUAGAGAUGAGAAAUUGGAACAAGGUACUGUAUGAAAGUGAAGGAGUUUGCAUUAUGACAAUUUUAAUACGAUUAGACAAGUGAAUCAUGACAAUUUUAAUAUGAUUAGAUAAGUGAGGUUGUUCAUGGCGACCAACCAAUCAGAGGCUUCGCCAAGGUUCUAAAUCAAGGUAUUCCAACAAGAAAGUCCAGAAUCCAGAUAGCCGCUUCAAGUUUUGUACAUACAGCCUCUCCAUAAAAACUUGAUUUAAGUCAAGGUAUUGCAGUUUGGAAAGGUUUUCAAGUUGAAGAGGAAUUAAACCCAUAAAUCCUGCUUGAGAGAGAUUAAGGUAUCCAAAACUGCUUACGGAAUCAAGAAAUUUAGGAAUCUAAAUUCCUUCGAAAUUGUUAUUGACAAAGUCCAAGUAACUCAAAUGUAAGAAAUAAGGAUUUACCUUACUACCUAGAAUUGACAUCAUAUCAUAUGAAAUACCAAUGUCAGAUUUGUCAUCAUCGUUAUCGAAAACUCACAGAAUUAGGAUUUUGAAGGUGAAGCUGAAAGACAUGGCCUGUGAAUUUGUUGUAGAUAACAUCAGUCUAUAUACAGUUAUCACCAUCUUUGGUCCAAGAGCUUCUCUCCCCUUCAGCCAAACAAACUUUGUAAAUAAUGUUGGGGAAAAAUCAAGUUUUCAAAUUUUUAUAAAACCUUUUAAGAUCGCUCUCAUAUAAUAUAUAAGAAUUUGUAUUCUAGAAAUCGUACCUUGAAAAUCUGAGUUGGCUUUUUCUACUAAGUGAUUUAGGCUCCUAGAUCACGAUCUGCCACCACCACUCCUGUUAGAUCAUGAUCUGUCACCACCACGCUUAUUAGAUCACGAACUAUCACCAAUGAUCUUCCAGGUUAUGACUCAGGUUCGAUCUGCACUUGACGUGUGGGCGCCUUUAUCACUACCAAAGCAACUAGCACGAGAAAAUUUUUCUCUCAACAAUAGAGAGAAAAAUCUUAUUCUCUGAUCUGUAUAAAGUUGUUUCUCUCUUUUUCUUUAGAGAAAAUAAGCUUUAUAUAUCUCCCUAGGCUCCAAAUAAUCAAAAAACAAAAUUUACGUUACUUGCUUUUUCUAUAGGAGACCCACCUUGUAAAAUAACAUAAAGCCCCUUACACACAAACUAAUUAAAUGGAGCCUCCCACUAAAUGAUAUAUUUAGGCUUUUGACCGAAAUAGCUAGUUAUCUUACUUAUUAGUCCAGUAGUGGUGCAGUCAAUUAAAUGAGCUAACCCGGAGAUCAUUUGAGAACAUACAAUAGUGGCUACAAUAAUUAGGCCUGUAAUUAAACUAGCCCAAUUAUUUAAUUCCAAAUCUACUCUACUAAAAGAUUGAAACCGACUUCCAUAAUUGUAUGCUCGAAUAAUAAUUCAUCCCAAGCCACAUUGAUUUCUUUACUGCACAAUCUUUUGUACCACAUUAUUAAUUAAAUUGAUAUUUCAACUGUCUAAUCAAUUUAAUAACAUCUUAUUCCUUGAUACUUACUAGUUUUCUCUAAUGAUCAUUUUCAACAUACUAAAUAUGUUGACACACUCUGGCCAGAGAAUUCUAUGAUCAAGUGCCGAAAACCCAUCAAAAGAUGUGUUGUACGAAUUCUAUAUUGUUAAUCUAUAACUCCAAUACUCAUAAAUGCUCCCACCAAGAUACCGGGUAAUCUAGACUACAAGUAUGUGUCAUGCCAAUUGGUAACUCAAAUGGAAUAACAAUUACAAUCAUGAAAUCAUAAUUAACUCAAGAUUAAGAUUACAGUAAAAUCAAUGCUUAUGAGAUUUAAUAAGUCUGACAGUUAUUACAAAGUUAAUUAAAUCUCAUAUGUGAUCCUGUUCAAUGUAGUCGUACUACAUCAAUAAAUUCAUACAUGAUUAAGACAAAUCAUUCAAUGAAUUUAUUACAGUCUAUACCUAAAUAAAGUGUCCAACUUUAUUUAUCAACUGUGAACUAAAUUUAUUUAAUCAUAAGAUAACUUGUAUUUAUGUUUUCUGUGAAUCCACAUGGUGAUCACAUAAAUACAUAUAAUAUGAUUAAAUGGACUUUAAUAAAAAUAUUAAUGCAAUUAAGAUAUUUGAAUAAAAUACCUCAUUAAUUUUAUUAAUCAGAAAAAAUAUUUAUUACAAUUAAAUAAACACAUAUGCUUUUAAAGAGCAUAUUUUCCCAACAAAUAAACAGUUGUUUGUGCAUAAAGCUUAGACAGGCUUAAACUUAGAAAAUCAAAAUCAGUAAAGCUAAAAUGGAUAAUAACCCAAAACCUCAGAGUGGGAAAAUCUUAGUGUUUUCAUUAACAAUUAGAAGAGAUUAAAGUCUGAUAUGCACAAUCAAAUAAAAAAAAAAAUGAAAUUGAUUACAUUUUAAGGAAUAUAAUUUGAGUGCCUUGAGCUAACAUAGUCUCCAGAAAUUUGGUACAUUUUCUACCAAAUCUCUGGCUCAAUUGCACACCCAUUAAAAGCACACAAUUCGACCACUUUGAGGUGUUUUCAAGAGUAUAUUUAGGAAUCUGAUGUCUUUGCCUUUACAAAUUUAUGGACACUUGAACAAGACUGCAAUGAUCAAAACACUAACGUUAACAUGUUGAAACCACACAUUGCCUGGUUAAGGAAAUAAUACAACUGAUUAAGUAAAACUCUAAAAAUCCUCAACAGUCAUUUAAAAUGCAGAAAAUAUCCAGGGCAACUUUCUCUUACAGGCUUCCUCUACCUAUUAUUAUGAUUAUUAUUAUUAUUAUUAUUAAUUUUUUGGAACAAGAAAUAGAAUUUCAUUUCAUCAACAAGUACAGUAGUUGGACUCCAGCAUACACACCACGUAGACAAAGAGAUCUUAGAGACUUUAUAGUAGACAAAUCACACUGGCUUUUAAGGUUGACAUUGCAAGCUAGUGGAAAUUUGAUGAUAUGAAGCGGACUCUUUGAAGCCAAAACUUGUGGCAGGUUCAACUCAAACUUCUGAACCCCCUUCAAUCAAACUUGUGGCAAGUAACGCAAAAUUCACGAUUAUCAUGAGAAUCAAUAUCAAAAUCCAAAUGUAUAUCAAGCUCAUCUAUGAUCGAGCCUCUAUGCUUCUAAUAAUUUAUUCACCGGUUUGUGUAUUUGGGCUUUUCCCUAUCCGCUAACCUUGUGCUUGAAUAUAAAGCUGAGUUUGAGGAAUCAAAGUUAAGACAAGUAAUAAGACUCCACAAAAUUUCAACCUACUUGAAAGAACAUCGGUCCUUUCAGUUUCCUUAAGAGGGAAGCGAGAUAUAAUAUUAACAAGAAUAUCAUCCGGUGGUUCACUCAACAAAUCCUAUAAAUAAAUAAAUAAAUAAAUAAUUCAAUGUCAUAAAAACAAAACAAAAACAAAACCAGCACUACGAAAUCAACUGAGACAGUUCCUUAUGAUGACGCGGUCUUUUCGUCAUCUUACUCUUCGAGAACUUUUUACCUCAAAUUUUGCCCCAAUAACGUCAAACGAUUCUGCAUGUGAAGUAAGCUUCGGCUGUGUUAAGGAAGCUCACAUGAGCAGAGUAGUCAGUGGAGCAGAGGAUUGCAACACCUGCAGCUUGCUGUUACAGGUUGAUGACAUGGCUUGCCAGUUGGAGCCUGGUGGUUAUAUAGUCUCUUGCACACGUGAAGAUUAAUAGAGUUUGUUAUAGUAUUUCUUGUGCUUGUAAAAUCAGUUUUAGUUAGUUAUAAUCAGCUGAUUAGCACUUGUAAUUAGUUUGAGAAUUAGUUUAAUUACUACUCAUGUAUAUAAAUAGAAUGAGGUACAGAUUCAGACUAUUAUGUUUUUGAGAUAAUAAAACGAAGAAAGAGUUUUAGAAUUCUCUUAUUUUCCCUUAAGUUUCUCUGCUUCCAAACAUCAUUGAAUUCUUACUUGGUAUCAGAGCCAGCCAAUAAUGGCGUCUGUUAAUCUUGCUUCGUCUUCCUCAAUUCCAACUCUUAAUCAUGCUACAAAUUCAACAAAUGUUUCCUUUACCUUUAACACACCAGUCAAGCUUGAUCAGUCCAAUUAUCUCAUAUGGCGAUCUCAAGUUCUAGCCUCAAUUCGUGGAAACAGGCUCGAAAAUUUUAUUGAUGAUGCAGUCACUCCACCUCCAUCUCAUAUAGCUCAGAGAGUUGAUGAUGAACUCAGAUCUGUGGAGAAUCCAGAAUUCAUAACAUGGAGAUCUCAAGAUCAGGUGCUGCUUGGAUGGCUGCUCUCUUCAAUAAGUGAAGGAAUCAUUAGUCUAGUGUUCAACCUGGAAACGUCACUUGAAGUGUGGAAAGCUAUUAAGGUACAAUUUGGCUCGCAAUCUAAAUCCAGACUUUUACAUCUGAGAUACAUGAUGAAUUCAACAAGGAAAGAUGAUAUGAAAAUCAGAGACUAUUUCAUUAAGAUGAAAAACAUAGCUGACAAUAUGGCUGCAGUAGGAAGUGUUUUAAGUAGUGAUGACUUGAUUUUGCAUGUAUUAUCUGGCCUAGGACCAGAUUAUAAUUCAGUAGCCACUUACAUUACUGGUCAAGUAGGAGUUGGUAAAAUGAAUGUGAAUGAAGCCUAUGCUAUGCUCUUAACUCAAGAGGCUAAGAUUGAACAACAAUCACAAAUGCUUGUUGGUGUGGAUAUGGAAAACAAUUUUAAGGCAAAUUAUGCUCAAAACAGAGGAGUUAAGAAGGGAAACAUGUCAGGUGGAAGAGGUUUUAGUGGCUAUGGCUAUAACUCUGGAUUUGGAAAUGGUGGUUAUUACAAAGGAAGUUUUGGCACUGACUCUGCUGGUGUUGGUACUGGUUUUAAUACUCAGUUCAAGAGUUAUCAAUCAGGCAAUCAAAGAGGAGGAGGAGGAGGUAACUGGAACAAUAACAUUGGAGUUAACAAUUUCAACAAUGGCAAAUCACCUAUGAACUCUAAACCUCAGUGGAACACUUUAAAACCUACCUGCCAAAUCUGUCUCAAGCCUGGACAUACUGCAAACAUUUAUUGGAAGCUGGAAGAAUUCAUUGCUUCAGGCUCUUACAGAUCACCUCCAAAUAGAGGACCAAAGGCUGCCUAUUUAGCCAACAUGGAUGCUCCAGCUGAUACUAAUUGGUAUCUUGACAGUGGUUCUACACACCACCUCACUAAUGAUAUGAGCAAUAUGAAGAUGGCUGAACCUUUUGCAGGUACUUCUAAACUUUUCAUUGGUAAUGGGGUUGGUUUAUUCAUAACACAUACAUGUUCUGCUGUUUUAAGAAUGCAAAGUUCUAUAAAUCAUUUUGAUCUUAAGCUAAACAACAUUCUUCUUGUUCCUAAAAUAACCAAAAACCUGAUAAGUAUAUCAAAGCUAACCAGAGCUAAUGAUGUUAUGGUAGAAUUUACUAAAGAUUUCUGUUUUGUUAAGGACAAGGUGAGGAAUUUGAUCAUGCUGCAGGGCAAAGCUGAAAAAAAAUUGUACAGAUUGCUAUUAGUCUCCUCAAAUAAAACCUCUCCUUAUCUGUCAAACCAAGGUCUUCUUGCUCAUAUUCAGUCAGAUGUCUCAACUCAACCUAUUUCCAUGUUUUCUAUUGUUAAUUCUAAAUGUCAGAAUAAAAUUGCUUCUCAGUUACAUACUGAAGCACAAUGUAGUCAAAACUCAGAUUGUAUGUUGAGUACUAUGGUUUUACACCAAAGAUUAGGUCAUCUCAAUGCUAGAGUAUUGAGUCAUGUUAUCAAUUCUUGUCCAUCUUUUAAAACUAUCGAUGAUAAUAAAGGUUUUGAUUCUUGUGAUGCUUGUAAGUUGGGAAAAAUGCACAAACUUCAUUUUCUAGUAACUGAAACCAAAACCAAAAAUGCACUUGAAAUCUUACAUACAGAUCUAUGAGGGCCUGCUCCAACACUUUCUAUACAAGGAUAUAAAUAUUAUAUCAGCUUUGUAGAUGAUUACAUAAGAUUCACAUGGAUUUUUCCUUUAAAAACCAAAGCUGAAGCACAAGUAGAGAAACAAUUAGAUAAAUCUGUCAAGUGCCUUCAAUCUGAUUGGGGUGGUGAGUACAGAUCAUUUGUACAUUUUCUUCAAACAAAGGGAAUUCAGUUUAGACACUCUUGUCUCUAUACUCACAAUCAAAAUGGACUUGUAGAAAGAAAACAUAGACAUAUCACUGAGUUGGGUUUAACCUUGCUUGCACAAGCAAAGUUACCUUUAAAAUUUUGGUGGGAUUCUUUUCAUACAGCUACCCACAUUAUAAAUAGACUUCCAACUCCUGUUCUUUCCUUGAAAACCCCUUAUGAAUAUCUAUUCCAUAAAAAACCAGACUAUCCAUUUCUCAAAACUUUUGGUUGUACUUGUUUUCCUUUCUUAAGAGAUUACAAUCAUCACAAGUUAAACUUUCAUACUUCUAAGUGUGUCUUCUUAGGAUACAACCCCUUACAUAAAGGCUACAAGUGUCUUCAUUCAUCAGAAAAAAUUUACAUAGCAAGUCAUGUUCUUUUUUAUGAAACUUCUUUUCCAUAUUCUACUGAUCCUACCUUCUUACAGUCUAUGCCAUUUAAAUCUUCUGACUUCCUUUAUAAUUCCUUACAAGUAUAUCACAUCUUAGUUCCUAAUAGCAAUCAGAAUCCUUUAGAAGUUGCUCCUGCAGAUACAGAUUCUCAUGCCUCAAGUUCUACUCACAAUAUCAUCUCACUUCCUCUUCCUACAUCACCAGUUCAUUCCACUUCACUGCCUUCACCAAAUAAUUCUAUAUCUUCACUCAUUGUCCACACAACAUCACCAGCUGCAACCAUAAACACUACACCAUUAUCUGCAAUUUUAAACACUACAACUUCACCUACAAUACUACAAACUUCACCUUCCAGAUCACUUCCCUCCCUUCCAAAAUCUAUUGUAUCCACUCAUUCUAUGAUUACCAGAGCAAAGGCUGGCAUAUUCAAACCAAAGGCAUUCCUGACAGAUCAUAAUAGCCUAGAACCUUCCAAUGUUGGUAAAGCCUUGUCUGAUACUAAGUGGAAGGCAGCAAUGCAAGAUGAAUAUGAUGCCCUCAUUAGAAACAAAACCUGGAGCUUAGUACCAAUGAAUGUAGAAUACAAGUUAGUAGGCUGCAAGUGGGUCUUUAGAACUAAAUACAAUACUGAUGGUUCAAUCUCUAAGUACAAAGCUCGUUUAGUUGCAAAAGGGUUUCACCAAACUGCUGGGAUAGAUUACUCAGAAACCUUUAGUCCUGUAGUGAAGUCUUCUACUGUCAGAGUUAUUCUUAGCUUGGCAGUCAUGCAAGGCUAGAAUGUUAGACAAAUUGAUGUCAAUAAUGCAUUUCUUAAUGGGGAUCUUACUAAGGAUAUGUACAUGCAACAGCCAGAGAGUUUUGUUUCAGAGGGAGGAUACAUCUGUAAACUAAACAAAGCUCUUUAUGGCUUAAAACAAGUUCUAAGAGCCUGGUAUGAUAAGCUUAAGGGUUGUCUUACAAGCUGGAAAUUCACUAAUUCUAAGGCUCAUACUUCUCUGUUUAUCAGGCAUGAUGUCAAAGGCAUAAUUCUUGUCUUAAUAUAUGUGGAUGACAUUUUGAUCACUAGACCAGAUUCAGAUUUGCUGGAAUCUUUUAUUGCUAAGCUCAGCAAAGUUUUGCAUUAAAAGACUUGUGUCUAGUAACAUAUUUCCUUGGUGUAGAAGUUAACUAUACAGAUCAUGGAAUGCAUCUCUCUCAGACCAAAUAUAUCAAGGAUCUGUUGUCUAUAGGAUUAACAGGAUAUUCAGAUGCUGAUUGGGCAUGUGAUAUUGAUGAUAGGAAAUCCAUUGGAGCUUAUUGCAUUUUCCUUGGUAAUAAUUUGGUUUCAUGGUCUUCGAAAAAGCAAGCCAUUGUAGCAAAGUCUAGUACUGAGAGUGAAUACAGAGCCUUGUUAGCAGCCAGCUCUGAACUUUCUUGGCUGCAAUCGUUAUUCUCUAAGCUCAACAUCACAAAAUUACCAACUUCUGUUCUAUAGUGUGAUAACUAGAGUCCUGGAGAUCUAGCUAGAAAUCCAGUUUUUCAUUCAAAAUCAAAACACAUAGAGCUAGAUAUUCAUUAUAUUAGAGACAAGGUUCUUAACAAAGAAUUGGAAUUGAGGUAUAUUCCCACUAAAGAGCAAGUUACAGAUGUCCUUACUAAGCUCCUGUCAUUUCCUAAGUUUAGUUAUUUUCGUUCCAAGCUUAAUGUGUUCAGCAGACCCUUGAGCUUGAGAGGGGAUGUUAAGGAAGCUCAUAUGAGCAGAGUAGUCAGUGGAGCAGAGGAUUGCAACACCUGCAGCUUGCUGUUACAGGUUGAUGACAUGGCUUGCUAGUUGGAGCCUAGUGGUUAUAUAGUCUCUUGCACACGUGAAGAUUAGCAGAGUUUGUUAUAGUAUUUCUUGUGCUUGUAAAAUCAGUUUUAGUUAGUUAUAAUAAGCUGAUUAGCACUUGUAAUUAGUUUCAGAAUUAGUUUAAUUACUACUCAUGUAUAUAAAUAGAAUGAGGUACAAAUUCAGACUAUUAUGUUUUUGAGAUAAUAAAACGAAGAAAGAGUUUUAGAAUUCUCUUAUUUUCUCUUAAGUUUCUCUGCUUCCAAACAUCAUUGAAUUCUUAUUGGCUGAAAGAGAGUAUGAUGGAUAAUAUUCGUGUCGCCACGUGCCCUUUUGAUUGGUUUAGAUCAGUCGGCGGUGGUUCAGAUCAGUGGGCUUCUCCUCUGGUGGGUUUUUUUUAUGGGCUUCGGGUGUUAAAUAAUUGGAGCUCGAGCCAUCUAGCUUCCUUGAUGAAUUUCUUUUUAUAUUUUUAUUUUUGUAAAGGUCCUUCUAUGAUGUUCUAAUAUUCCUACAGCAUUAAUAAUGUGAAAAGUAUAUGCAAUUAGAUCUAAUCAAUGUUACAUAUUAUUUCUAUUAAUAAAUUUUUUUAAUUAUUUUUAUAAUAAUAUAACCAGUUAAUAAACCAAUUAAAGGGUAAUUUUAAAUUUUAAACUAACAAUAACAAGAGAUACGAUAAAAUAUCUCAAGUUAUUUUAUUUGAAAUUGAAUUCUUAACAUCACAUUAAGCAAGAAAACUUCAUUACAUAAUGCUUAUCCGUGCAUCUUCUUUUAAAUAAAAAUGCUAUAUUCAAAUAUAGUUGAAAUAUAAAGUGGUUUCUAAAAGUUAAGAGGUUGCAGUUAAGCUGCAAUUAGUCUUGUGUUAUGCUUGCAUAGUAACAAGAAUCAUGUUCCAAGGUUUGUACAAUAAGAGAUCUGCUCUAGCAAUUUAGAUUCCAAUGAGCAAAAAAUAUUUUGUAUCAAUAUCAUUGUCAUAGAACUUUGGUAUUUUCUCUCGCAAUUGCUGAAGUUUAAGUAAUUUGUUUGUGUAUUGUUCUGAAUUCACUACUACAUAUUGAUUGGAUAUAAUUAAUUAAUUUUCUUUGAAUUAAUAAUAUUUAUAUUGACAACUACCUGUAUCUGAUUGUUGUAUUUGUUAGAUGAUAAGAAAUUUAAAUUGAUGAAAUGUUACUAAUAAAAAGUGGAUGUACAUAGGUUAGUUAAAGAAAUUAAAACCUUUUAAUUUAGGUUAGUUAAAGAAAUUAAAACUUUUUAAUUAAUUAGUUAAUCAUCAUUAUAUUAAAUUAUAUUAAUGAAUGGUUAAGAUUAAAACACUUAAAUUUAAGGGUCCACAAUAAUCCCACUAUCAACAUUGUAAAAGUACAUACAACAUUAUAGAGUAAUCAUUUUUGUAAAAUGCAACCAUUUCCUUUUCAAAAAAUAUAAAUAUACAAUCCACAUAUUGAUCACAUACAAAUGAUUUGUAGUACACAUUAUAGAAACAAUAAUUCAAAAAUCUACUCCCACUAAUAUCAAAUAAAUAUCGUCUCUAUAUUUAAAUCUUUAGAUAAGAGAAAUGAGCUCCCACUGCAUGGCUCGAACUGGACAACAUUUCCUAGCGAUUUAUUACUAUUUAACUCCAAAUUUAUUUAUAGAGAAAUUUGCUAAUGUUUGAUGCAAGUUCUAAAAUACUCACAAACUUUUGACAUGUUCCACCCAAUAUUUAAAAGAGUAUCAAUUUUCCAUUUCGACAUUUUAUACGUGUAUAACAUCAUCAUCUUAAAUGAAUAAAUUACCCUUAUAAAGUCAUAAAAAUUUAAUCAUCAUUAAGAGCAAAGUGGACAAUCUAUACUCCUUACAAAUUUUGAAUCGACAUUUGAUAUUUUUGAACUUUUUAUUAAACAUGGCUUUUUUUCCCCCUUAUGAUUCUUCUGCUGUAUAUUUACAUAUAUGAAUAUAUAUGAAACAACAUAGCUGCAAAUACAAAGAUAAUUACAAAACCUGUUGGUGACAUAUUCUUAGAACGAAAAUGUACAAUCUGUCGUAGAGCCGAUUCAAGAAACCAUAGUAUGUGUAUAUCCAUCUUCUACACAAAAACAGAGGAGAGCCUACUACACCUUAAAAGCCCAUCACAAAACUAAGUACCAUGCUUACAUAAAACCAUUUCAACUUCAUGCUCAUUUCCUUCCCUUCCAUUUUCGUUGUCAUGUUUCUACAGACAUUUUGGAAAAGGAGCUCCACAAAGUUCGCUACCUGCAAAACGAGAUUGAUGAAAGCCUUGUAGCUGAAUACCUGAAGGAAUUUCUCCAGUCAAGUUGUUGUUGGAUAAGUUCAAGUAACUAAAAAAUGUGAUAGUCUAAAGACUCUGCAAAAUUGCACUGGAUAACUGAUUAGCAGAGAAAUCAAUGGAUUCCAAUGAUUUCAUAGAACCAAUACUUUCAGGAAUUGUUCGACUAAAUGAAUUUUGAGACAAAUUCAAUGUUUGUGAUGCUCCAGGAUUUGUCACUCCCUUCGCAAUUUCUCCUAAGAAAUUAUUUUUUGAAAGCUCUAUGACUCUUAGUACAUUAAGAUUGGUACUAUAUUCAAAUGCUUUGCCUUUCAUCAUAAAUAACGCCCUCUAGAUAUUACCUCCUGGAAAACCACUAAUAAACUAUAUAUAAUUGUCUACAUAUUCAUAUACUGUGGCCGUGGCAGUCAAGUUACUGAUACAUGGCGAUAAGGGUCCAGAGAGGUUGUUACCAAAAAGGUCUAGGAUCUGCAAAUACUGCAAAUGGCAAAUCUCCUGCAGAAAAAGGCCAUGGAAUUGAUUGAAUGAAGGUUGAGAAUUAUUAUGGACAGAAGACUUUUCUUGAUCCAUUUUGGAACAUCUCCAAUAAACGCAUUUUCCCUCAGGUCAAGAACUUCGAAGUGUGUACCAUUUUGUAACGACAUAGGAAUUGCUCCAGAAAGGUGGUUCCUGUGAAGGUGAAGUGACUCAAGGGAACUCAACGCUCCUGUAGAAGUUGGAAAGUUGCCAGAAAAUUUAUGUUGGAUCUUUAAUCCUGUUGGUGAGUACAAUUUCUAAUGCUAUUGGUGUCAAUGUGAAAGUGCACACAACAAGCAAUAUAUUGAAGAGCAUUCAAAUCGUCUCUAUAUGUAAUGAUGUUAUCAGACUUGCUACAGUAAACUUAACAGUAUAGUUUUGUUUUAAUUGAAAAUAAAGCAACUAAUGAAACUAAUGAAUGAAUUAAAAUGAAAAUGCAAUAAAGAAAAAUCUCACGUCAAAAUGUAACCAAUGGGAAUAGAGUAGUUAAGUGAAUAAACUCUCUUAAUGGCAUUGACUAUCUUUCAAUUACAGUACCUUGCUGCAUCAUCUACUAUAACACUAGGCAUAAUCCCUCAUGUAUCCUCAGUUGUCGCCUAUUCAAUAUCUUAUAUCUAAUGCAACCUAGUAGUGACUAAUUGUUACACCAACAUUAAAUAUAACAUUAAAUGAUCUGGGUUCCAUUUACCCUAAAAGGUAAAUCCCUAUGUCUAGUUCAUUACUAAUUUUAGAUCAAACAUGACCCUAUUCAAAUUGAGUUUUACUCAACUUGGGAAAUCAAAUCUAAAACUAAGUAUGUCUUAAUGAGAUCCACUAAGUCAGACCUUUUUGAGGUUUUUUCUUAGUUAGUAUCUCUAAAUGAGUAGUCAAUCGAAAUAAGGAUUAAAAUAAAUAUAAUUAAGACAAAAUGAUAUAGCAAACAUAUAGCAACAUGUGUAUACCAAUCAAACAUCUAUUAAGAUCAUUUAUUACUCAACGACAAUAAAAUUUAGUUCAUGAUUUGCGAUAAAACAGUUAAGAAAAAUAGUUUCAGCCAUCAAAUACAUCCCCAUAGAUAAAUAGAAAACAAGAAGAUGACAAGAAAAACUGAUUUCCGUUUGAUUUCUACGAUUUCUCCUCUGUCAGCCUUCAAUCUCUCCCUUGAUUUAUGUUUUUCUUUUGUUUUUCUCUGCGAUUUUUCCUUUGUGUGACAACUCUCUCUUUCUCUUUGUGUGUGUGCUCUUUUUAUAGCUCGAAAUUGGGGCAAUCGGAAGUCUAGGGUGUGUAUCUUCCAUUUUUGAAAACUCCAUAUUGCAAUCUUCUAAGUAUCUCGCGUGAAAUCUUCUCGAUCAAUGCUCUAGGAUUGCUACAGCAAGGGUGCUGUAUCAACAAUGCUACAAUAAUGGCUUCAACAUCUGCACAUUCCAGACUUAUUUCAAUUCUUCUAUAGCUAAGUUCUUUCCUUAUUUUUGGAAGCAUAUUGCAGCAGCAUUCCUCCUUGAAAUUAGAGCCUCCGGUCACCUAUAAUUAUGCAUAUGAUCUAAGCACACAAAUUAUUCUAAAUCAAACAAAAUUUAUUAAAAAUAAACUAAAAUCGAUGUUCAUGCAAAAUAUAAUUAAAAUGCAAUAAAAACAUGUCAUUUACUCUCUAAGUAUUACUGAUUCAAUUCUAAAAGUACCAUGAUAACUUUCAUUUCAUAGAGUUAUCACUUGCAUUAUUGGAUCCUUAAUCUAAUAUUAGGCUUAUAUAAUAAUUAUGCGUUGUGGACUAUUAUAUAAGGUUAAGCUCAAUUAAAAAUGAUCUAUUAAGAUUUUUGGUAAUCUGAGCUUUAAUGUAUCUACUAGGAUGUGGGCCUUUAUAUUAUCUAUAUUUUGGAUUCCAUGAUGGGAUGAAAUAGAAAUGCCUAAAAACAACAAGAAAAGUUAUCUAUAUAAGUGGUUAUGGGCUUUAGAUCAAAUAUAACAUUUUAUUUUCUUCUGACAUCCCAUCAUCAAAGAGAGUGCACAUAGAAAAUUAAAGGAUUCUCUAGGAGAAUAUAUUGAUUUGGAAGGCAUACCACACGAUUCUAAAGAAUAAUAAUGCAUUAUGGAUUCAGGUACGCUUCUGAAUAAUUUAUUAUUGAUUCUUGGUGAUACAACAUAAAUGUUCCUAGAUUAUAGGUAAUAGUUUUUACCAACGGAUUUAUUGUUCUAACAAGUGGUAUCAGGGCCUUUUCACGUUGAAUCAGUGAGAAUCAAAUUUCUUUUCGAUUAAUGAUUAAAUCUUUGGUGUUCUCGAAUUUAAUAAUUAUGUUAUUAUUGAAUUUGAGAACAAAUUGAGAAUUAAAAUAUAUAUUCAGAAAAUCCAAGAAUAUUAUGAAAUUUGGUUUCAAUAUAUUCGAUUUUUAAAAUUUAGGUUGGCGACAACCACUGCCACCAUUGGCAUUUAGGCAAGAUUUAGUCGUAAGAUGGUGCCAUCAAGCAAGCUAUGGAUUAGUUAAGUAAAAGCUGCAGCCUAGACCGUGACACCAAAGAAACAGAAAAAAGAGAGGAGGAGGGAUGACUUCCGGCCAAGCAAGAUGUGGCCAUGGGCUGCACCAGCAAGCCAACUGCUGUCACUACACUGAGGCAACUUGGUUAAAGUGGUGGUCACCUAAGGCAGGAAGAAGAAAAGGAAAAUAUGCAAUUAGGGCUCUAUGCUUUAUAUCUUGGAGGUCCCUAAGGUUCUAUAAAAAUUCUUUUUCGGCAAAAUAGUUAAGGAGACUCUCAUUUAAGUCCUAAAUUUGUUCAGGCUCAAUGAAUCUUAGUGUUAGAUCCAAUAGAGAUUGGGCUUAAUAGAUUAAAAUGUAUAAUUAAGGUUUACCCUAGAAAGUUUAUUUUAUAGUCCAAAGGCUUUAUUUAAAAUUCUUUAAAAAAAUAUUAUAGUUUUGAGGGAUUUGGGGCUGGUUUAGGAUCUGGAUGAGGUUCACCCGACUCGUCCAGCUCUAACCCAAUCAUGGUUGAUUGGUCAAUAAUUGACAAUUGAUCAUUCUAUUUGAAUUUGACUUUGACCUACUUUUUUUAAAGGUAAUUUUGGUUACAAUUUUAAAUUCAAAUAUUAUAUAUAUUUUAAGAUGGAUUAAUCCAAGCAACAUGUCACUAAAGUGUUUUCUCUUCUGGAAGUUAAUUUGUUUUGGAAGAUAAACAACUAUGUGUAUGUAAUUUCUCUAAAUAUCAUUCGACCUAAAGGAAGGUCCAUAGUUAACAAAAUUCUAUCUGCACUUGUGGUAAUAAACACUUGAUGAUUAUUUAGUUUUAUAUGUGAACAAUAAGUCCGCCUAAUGGAAGAUUUAUUGUUUGAUAUGUUCUUAUUAUCAGUGUUUGAUUACUACGGUAAGAUAUCACUUACAAGUUAAUAUUUUGUCUAAAGACGAAAUAUUAAUGGAGUAUCUGGUAUCUUGAGAUGGGAUUUAUAUUUGUUCGAAUUUUGUUUUUUGACACUUAUAUAAGCUUGUUUUGUUUGUUUAUUGUUCUUUGUUCAAUUAUGACUCCUGCUAAUAUUACUACCAACAAUAAUUUUAUUCUUAUGCUAAAUGGAUCUAACUUCAAGUUAUGGCAAGAGAACUUCUUAAGAGUUCUUGCAGCCAUGGAUUUUGACAUUGCGUUAAGGGUUACUUUUCCCCCAUUUUUUACGGAUGGGACUACUUUUGAGUACAUAAAGGAUUUGGAAAAAAGGAGAAAUCAAAUCAUAUGUAUAUGAUGAUUAUGAAAAAGGCCACUUCAGAAGCAUUUAGGAGUCUAAUGUUUGGAAAAAAAACUACGGCAAAAGAGUUCCUUACAGAAACUGAAAAAGAAGUUUGUCAAGAACGAAAAGGUAAAAAUAAGUAUGCUCUUGGAAAAUCUAAUUUCAAUAAGGUAUAAGGGCAAAGGAACGAAAAAGAAAAACAAAAAAAGAAACAACACAUAAAAAGAAACAACAAAAGAAACUGAGUGAUCCAAAAGGUGUUAGUUGUUUUUUCUAUGGAGCAGAAGGCAUGGUUGUUGUAACUUUUUCUUAUGCUAUUGGGGUCAAUGUGCAAGUGUACACAACGAGUAAUAUAAUAAUAAGUAUUUAAGAUCAUCUCCACAAAGAUUGAUGUUAUCAGACUUGCUACAGCAAUCUCAACAGUGUAAUUUUUCCUUGAAUAAAAAUAGAACGAACAAUUAAACUAAUAAACUAAUUAAUUAAAAUGAAAUGCAAUAAAGAAAAUUGUAGGAAAGCAAAAUCUCACGUCUUACACAAGGAUAAAAUCAAUAGGAAUAAAGUAGUUGAGUGAUUAAAUUCUCUUAAUGGUUUUGACCAUUUCUUGCAAUUUAGGUACAAUUACUGUAGCAUCUGCUACAACACUGGGCAGAAUCCUUAUGUAUUCUCAGCUGUUGCUUGUUGGAUAUCUUAUAUUCCUAUGCAACCUAAUAGUGACCAAUUGUUAUGCCAACAUAAGAUAUAGCAUUACACGCUAAGUUUCUAUUUACCUUACAAGGUGAAUCUCUAUGUCUAGUUCAUCACUAAUUUUAGAUUAAGCAUGGCCCUUGUGGAAUCAAGUGAAACUCGACUAAGAAAAUACAAUCUAAAACCAAGUAUUGUUCUGAUAUGUUCCACUAAGAUAGACUAUUUUGUGGCUCUUUCUUAGCUUGUAUCAUUAAAUGGGUGGUCAGCUGAAAUAACGAAUAGAAUAAGCUUUACCAAAACAAAAUGAUAUAUCAAACAUGCAGCAACAUAUAAAUUCAGUCAAGAAACCAUCAAGAUUGUCUAUCACUCAACCACAAUUAAAUUUGUUUAUGAUAUGUGAAAGUAAAAUAAACAAAAGAGUUUUAGCCAUCAAAUAUGUCCCCAUGUUUAAAGAGUAAACAAGAUAACAAGAUAACAAGAGAAGAAUAAUAAGGAUUGAAUUCUGAUUGACUUCUACAAAUUCUCGUUCAACGUUGAAUUAUUCACUGACACCACUAAUGUCUCCCAACUGUCAAGCAAAAUUUGGUGAGAAAAAGAGUUGAAGAGAUUAACCCAAAAGUUAGAACAACUUACAAAGAAUUUGAUAAAUUUUAACGAAAAAUUUAGGAUCUAAAAACAAAACUUAAUAUAUUUACCCAAAUGUUGGAAUCCAAUAAAAAGAGCAAGAAUAUAGAACCAAUAAAUGGUGGGAAAAGGAGUGGAAGAGCAUAACCCAUAAGUUGGAAUGACAUGAUGAGAAUUUGAUAAAUUCUAAUGAAAAAUGGAGAUCUGAAAAAUAAACUUGAAACAUUCACGUAAAUACCGUAAUUCAGUAAAAAGAGUAGGAAUAUCGAACCAAAAUUUGGCGGGAAUAAGAGCUGAAGAGGUUAACCUCUAGGUUGGAACAACUUAUAAACAAUUUGAUAAAAAAUUUUAGAAAAUAAGGAUCUAAAAACCGAACCUAAUAUAUUUACGCAAAAUGUUAGAAUUCGAUAAAAAGAGUAAAAAUGUAGUACCAAAAGGUGGUGGAAAAAUAAGUUGGAACAACUGACCAAAAACUAGAUAAAGUCUAAUGGAAUGUAAAUAUAUAAAAAAUAAACCUAAAUAUCCACUUAAAAAGUUAGAAUUUAAUGAAAAAAGUGAAAAUAUGGAACCAAAUGUUGGUGGGAAAAUGAGUUAAAAUAAGUUACCAAAAUUUAGAUAAAUCUUAACAAAAAAUAGGAAUUUAAAAAGUAAACUUUAAAAAUGCACUGCAAAUAUUGGAAUGUGACAAAAUAAGUGGGAAUAUAUCUCUUUUUUACGUACACUAUAUUAUUUUUGUGGUUUCUUGUAUUAUUUAUAAAUUUAAAAUUAUUACAGUCUUUUGCCUCAUUUAAUUACAUAUUUAUCUUUUUUUUCUUUUUUUUAAUAAAAUUUUCACAUUAAAAAUAAAUGAAAUUUUAAUUUUAUUAUAUUAACCAGUUAAAAUCGUUUAUACCGGUUUUCUGCCGAUAAAUUUACACAAAUAACCACAAAACUUUAUGAUUUUUCAAUUUUAACCCACAAAUUAAUUUCUAUCAACAUUAGCCAAAAGUAAAAUUUUCAGACCAAAAUGCCCCUCUCACAUCUCUCCCCCAAGACUCUCUCUUUCACGUAAUCUCUCCUAGAGCCAAGAACACCCAUAGUCGGCAACAACUUCACCCAUCGUCGGCAGCGGCUCCACCCAUCAUCGGCGUCCGAUCUACCUUCUACGGCGAAGAAAAUCAACAAGAUUCAUUAUUCAACUUCAAAAAAACCUAGGUUAGUCAUUUUAUUUAUAUUUCAUUAAUUAAAAAUGAAAUUUUAGAAUAAUAGUGGUUUUAGUUUGAGAAUAAUGGUGGUGGUGGUGGUGCUUGUAGUAGUGGUUGUUGUUUUGGGCGCGAUUUGUGUGUGAACUCGCAUGAUGGGCAGCAAACAUUGCGCGAUCUCACGCGAGCGACAGGCGCUGGUGCGGGCGCCUGUCGCACCAAAUUACAAUUUUUAUUUUUUUUAACGUGAAGUUAAUUUCCCUAUUAUUUUAUUAUAAAUGUAAUCUAAUAAUGUUAAAAAUAUUAUAGAUACAUGGCCAAAUCAGAAGUAUCAAGAAAUGAAUUGGGCAGGAUGAAGUUAGCUUAUGCCGAUCACUUCCCGGGCUGAAUUUCGAGCAUGUGUAACUUUUCUACGGUCGUAAAAGUUAUCGAGCGAAAAUUAACAAAAUAGCAGCUGCAUCUGUUCAAGAAAGACAUAUUUUGGCAUUUCUUAGAGUGCCGAAGCUUUCCGUUUCAUGGUGUAAUUUUGCACAAUGUUUUGCUUAGGUAAGUGGCCCACGGAGAAUGCAGGGAGGAUCAGUUAUGGUUUCAAAUUGGUGAGCAUUUGAUACCUUUGUCAAUUGCAGAAUGGUGCCUAGUUACUGGACUUUCCUAUGGCGUAGAUACCGCACUAACAAAUAACAAAACGGGGCAUAGGCUACUGAAAAUGUAUUUUGGUGAUUUGUUUUGUAACAUCAAUCUUAAGAAAUUUAAUGCAUUAUUUGAGGAGUUGGACUUCAAGGCUAUGGACGACAUUGACGCAUUAAUGAUCGUUUUAUUUUGCGGACAAAGUUCUAAAUGGAAGAAAAGGCCACUGUCAAAUCAAUUUCUCAUGGCUGAACGAAGAAGAUGAUAUAAAUUACUUCUGAAAUCGUCCAUGGGGUCGUUUAUCGUGGGAAACGAUAUAUGAGAGUCUUGACAAUGCACUCUACGAGAAAGAUGAAAAAUUUAAGACGACUCGGUUGGAAAAGCCAAAUCAUAAAAUGGAAAAGCACAAUGUUUACGGCUUUACGUCCGGAGUUCAAGUGCAUUGUUUUUUUUAUUAAUAAGUUUUGUAACAUUAAAUAUUUAAUGGUAGUUUUAAUAGCUUUCUCACUUUGGUUGUUGCAGACUUGGAUUUAAGUAGCGAUCGGAGGUUUACCGCCAGCAUGGGUCGUGAAAACGAAGAAGAAGAUUCCCCGCAUCGUACAAUGGAAGCCCAUGGCUUCUUCUAAAAUAAACUUUGCUGAGGUUUAUUCGUUCUUAAAUGACGAAUCUCGUCUUGUAAGUAAUAUGUAUGGGUAGACGUAUAGUACUAUUUUUGACAUUAUUAAAUUCGAGUUCUGUAUACUAACUUAAAAUUUUGGGUUGAAUUCAUGGCGGAGGAGCGUUUUACAAGCCCUUAAGCCGGAUGCAAAGGAGAGUCACAAAAAAUAUUGGCUCACUAUGAAAGAUUAUAUGCCACGUAUUCUAGGUUGGGUUCAUAAGGUCGAUAUCCUAUAAGUAAUAUUAUUUAUUUAAUCUAAAUUUUUGACUUUUCAUUUACUUAUUUUAAAUAUUAUUUUCUACAGCACCAACCUUCAAUCAACCCGCCGCCGCCCGUUACAAGGCAAUCAGAUGAGCAUGACGACAUACUGAGCCCAACACCAGAGCAGUGUCAUGACACAUCUGAGGAUGAGGUGCCUGUGGAUGACCAUCAGGAGCAGACAUAUAACUCUAAUGAUGCACGUGAAUCCGAGGUUAUAAAUAAUUUCUUUUCCUCAUAUAUAAAUCAUUACAACAGUAUGUUAUUAUAAAGAAUUUUUUUUUUUUUUGUAAUAGAUAAGGACAAAACAGUUUAAUGAUUAUAUGAGACGACGGAUGGACAAGAUUGAUUGUAACAUUUAUGAACUUAAGUCAGAAUUUAAAGAUUUUAAAGAAAUCGCGGUGGGAUUUAUCGAUUCACUGUCUAAACGUCCAAACAAUGAUUCUCCGAUUGGACGCUCGUAUGCGGUGAGCAAAUUUAAAUUUAACAACUGUGUUCGUUUAGUUUUUAAUUUGAUAGUUGUUUAAUAUAUUCAUUUUACUGAAUGGACAGGCCCCAGAUGACUAUGGAGUGUAUACUAAUGUGGGCAAUAAAAAAUUUUCAUUAAUGUGGGCAAUCAAAAUUUUUCUACUCCCACGUCAUUGUAUAGUUUCUACAGGGAUAUUAGUAGGGAGAGCGUGCAGGUCUUCAUUGAGGUGCCUCCGGGCAUUAGUAAGUUUGGCCGAGCAUACGCACCGUCGUAUGUUUUUAACAGUCCUUACAUGAUUCCUCCAAUCAGGCGAGGAAAAAACGUCCGGCCUCUACAUCCACCCCAAAUCAUGUACCAUGCGAUUGUGUGGAUAUAAAUCCACUUAGAGGAUUGGAGGAUCCAAGUCUGUAUGAUGAGUUUGACCGAUGGUUCGCUGGCGAUAUGACAGUGGAUUGGAGAGUCCAACACCGGCGGUCGUUCUUUUCAGUAAUUUUGGGCCAUGUUUCGAUGGAAUGACUAGAUGACGAGAUAAUUUUUUUUCCUAAUUUCUUUCAGUGUUGUGGAUUUGUGUAUAAUUUUUUCCUUUUAAAUCGACGUGUUUAUAUUCCUCUACAGCAUAUUCACGAGUAUUUUUGCUUGAUUAGCGAAAAACAACGGCAGUAUCCGAAUGUCUUCGUUCAACGUGUCACACAUACUGACACAUUUUUUUGGGUAACGUGCAGGCAUAACUUAUAAUUAUCCUUUCUAUUUGUUUAUUAUCGCCUUGAAGUUUUAUUAAUUUAUGCAUUUCUUAGUUAUCUAUGUACUAGGUGUUCUUGAAUCAGAUAUGGAACAACGGGAAUUGUGCGGUCGAUUCAUUAGUAUAUAACGACAACUUGAAUAUUUAUAUUGGUGGGCGGCAGCUGAUAACUCUAUGAAAUGAGAGUUAUUAUGGCACUUUUAGACUUAAAUCAAUACUACUUAGAGAGUAAAUUAUGUGUUUCUAUUGUAUUUUUGUUACAUUUUGCAUAAAUAAUCAUUUUAGUCAAUCUUAAUAAGUUUUGCUCGAUUUAAAGUAAUUUGUGCUCAAAUUGUGUGCAUAAUUGUAGGUUCCCAGAAGCUUAUAAUUCAUGGAAGGAAUGCUAUGCAAUAUGCUUGCAAAAAUAAAGAAAGAAUAUGGUUACAAAAGAGUUUAAACAAAUCUGGAACAGUGCAGUUGUUGUAGAUAUUGCUGUAGCAACCAUUGCUGUAGCAAUCCUGGAACAACGACAGAGAAAAUUCCGCGCGGGAUACUUGCAGAAUUGCGAUCUGCAGUUUCCUAAUCUGACUUAUGCGCGCCAUAGGCUUCCGUUUACCCUAAUUUUCAACUAUAAAAGAAGCACAUAUCAUAAGGAAAAUGGAGGGUCGUCACCCAAGGAGAAAAACACAAAGAAACAAAAGAAAAACAAGAUUCAAGAGAGAGAUUGAAGACUGCACAAGAGGAGAAUUUGCAGAAAUAAAUCAAGAACUCGGUCCUUCUUAUUCUUCUCUUGUUUUCUUAUUUACUAUUUAUUCAUGGGGAUGUGUUUCAUGGCCGGAACAUUGUUCUUUAUUUUUCUUUUACAAAUCAUGAACUAAAUUUAUUUGUGGUUGAGUGAUAAACAAUCUUGAUGGUUUAUUGACUGAAUAUAUGUGUUGCUGCAUGUUUGCUGUAGCAGUUUGUUUUGAUAGUAUUUAUUUUUAUUCAGUAUUUCGAUUGAUCACCCAUUUAAUGAUACAAGUUAGGAGAGAGCCGCAAAAGGGCCUAUCUUAGUGGAACAUAUCAAAACAAUACUUGAUCUUAAAUUGAGUUUCCCGGAUUGAGUUUUACUUGAGUCCCAAAAGGGCAAUGCUUGAUUUAAGAUUAGUGAUGAACUAGACAUAGGGAUUCACCUUGUAGGGUAAAUAGAACCUAAGCGUGUAAUGUUAUAUCUUAUGUUGGCAUAACAAUUGAUCACUGUUAGGUUGCAUCUAGAUAUAAGAUAUCCAACAUGCGACGGCUGAGGAUAUAUAAAGAUUUUGCCCAGUGUUGUAGCAUACGCUGCAGCAACCGAGCCAAACAUUAGAAAAAUAGUCAAUACCAUUAAGAGAGUCUAUUCACUCAACUACUAUAUAUUCCCAUUAGUUUUAUCCUUGAGCUUGACGUGAUAGUUUACUUUGUUGCAUUUAUUUAUUGCGUUUUUAUUUUAAUUAAUACAUUAGUUUCUUUAAUUGUUUAUUUUAUUUUAGCACAAAAUCUGCACUGUUAAGAUUGCUGUAGCAAAUCUAAUAACAUCAAUCCCUGUGGAGACGAUCUUGAAUACUCAUCAUUUUAUUACUUGUUAUGUACACUUGCACAUUGACACCAAUAAUAUUAGUAUUUAUACACCAACAGCAGCACAUCAUGUCCAAACCAAUUACGGAUGUCAAUAUGGUAUGUAUUUUAUUGUAUUUUAUAGCCACAAUCAAAUGUGGAUGUGGCUUUUUAUUGUAUCUUUUUUAAUUUCAUAUAUAACGAACAUGAUAAAUUAGCGAUAAUUUUUUAUGUACAUUUAUUCAUCCCUGUUAACCUGGACCGCGAGCAUUGGGUACUAGCCUGAGUAGACUUUUGUAAGCACAAAGUCUGGAUUUAUGACUCAUUACUGACAUUUCGAGACGACAAAAAGUACAAGUUCAAAUUCAAGCCGCUUGAAGUUAUCUUCUCUCGAUGGUUGAAAUAUGUUGAAUUCUACAACAUUCGACCUGAGUUACGGAGUGCCAACCCCUGGAAAGUUGUCGCAGUUAAGAGUGUGCCACAACAAGAGCACGAAACUGGUGAUUGCGGUGUUUUCUUAUUGAUGUUUAUGAUGUAUUUAAUGUUCGGGCUUAAAUUAAAGUUUAACGGUAGUCAUAGGGAGUACUUUAGAAAGAAGAUUGCAGUUGACAUAUUUAAUGACGAUAUUGUAUUGUAAGCCGUUGUAGUAAUUCGAAUGUUGAAACAUGAUUUUUUAUUCUAAUUUGUGUAUUAAGUUUAUAUAAUUUUAAUGCUCACAUUUUAAUAUAAAAUAAAAAAAUAAAAUUUCAUGACAUAUAAGUGUACAAUACACAAAAAAAAAAAUUGUUUUAACCAAGGAAUCGUUGAAACAAUACAACUAACUUCGACUCAACGCAAUGAGAUUCUUACAUCGCUUACGGUUAUGUCCUAGUUCAUUACACCGCCCGUAUCUAACAGUCCUCCAGUUAACGUCUUCGCCAGCCGAGGGUAUUAUGAGCUCUUUACGAUGACCCGGUGGUGGUGCCUCAACUGGUGGAUAAACGUGCAUCUCUUGAAUUUCAUCUGGAACUUCCCAAUCAGCCACGUCGCCAACCAGCUCCACUGGUUGUGUAUAAGCCAUCGCCAACGAUUCCGUGGUGUAAAAGUCCGAACAAAGGUAUAUGAAAUCCACUCGGACAGUUAGACAAGCCGCAAUUGCAUGAGAACAUACAAGUUGAUCAAGUUGAAAUACUUUACAUGAGCAAGCUUUCUUUUGCAGGUCAACUCAGCCUUCCUUAAUCCCACCACCUACAACUUGAAAUCAAUGUCGAGACACUGGGCGAACGAUCAUUCUUUCAGCUAUAGUUUUCCUCUCAGUGACUAUUUUAUCCGCCCAUGUUGUUAGUCGAGUACUCAUUGAUUCAGCGACAAUUUUUCUAUCAUAAAACCAUUGCUGUAAUGUUUUUCUAAAGUAAUCAACAAGAUGGGUAAUAGGAAAUUUUUGCGGUUCCUUCAUGAAAUAAUUAACACUCUCUGCGAUGUUAGUGGUAAGUAUGUUGUACCUUCUACCUUCAAACCGAGACAUUGCCCAAUUAUACGUACCCAUAUUAUUUUCUAAGUAAUCAGCCGCACUCGAGUGAAGCAUCCAUAACCCUUCAAGUUGUCUUUUAAAUUCCUCGUGUCCAUAUGCUUUUGCUAUAUUAAUAAAUGCAUGCUCAAAUUCAUCCCAAAGAGAUUUGGACAUCCUAAACUUUGACUUAAUGUUACCUUUCACAUGGUAAAAACAAAUGUUGUGAGUUGCAUUGUGAAAUACUUUCAGAACGGCUCUCCUUAUGGCAGUGCAUCGAUCAGAGAUAAUUACCAACUCCGACCUAUCGCCAAUCACUCUGUGUAACUUCAUCAUAAAUCAUUUCCAAGCAUCAUUGUUUUCUGAAUCCAUGACCCCACUGGUUAACGGAUACAAUUGAUUGUUACCAUCCAAACAUGUUACUACGAACAUGCUUCCACGAUAUAUCCCCUUUAGAUGAGUACCAUCUACAGUAAUGACAGGCUGAAUGUACUACAUAAAACCCUUGAUGGAAUAUCUAAGUGCUACAAAGUAGUACAAGAAAUUAUCAUCUUCAUCAUGCUCGAGGUGAGUGACUGUACCCUCAUUCACUUUAGUGAGUACGUGAGAGUAUUUAGGGAGCAAGUUGUAUGACUCUGCAGGGUUGCCUCGAACUAUUUCAAGACCAACUUCUCUGGCCCGAUAUGCUUGCUGGUAUGUUAACUGAACACCGUAUUCCUGCUGCAUAUCUGCUUUGAUGUCAUUGGAAGUGUAAAUCCUCAUUAUGACAAGUGUGUACAUUGUCAAUUCUCCUCACCACCCAAGAAACAUUAUGCUCGUUCGAACUUCUAAUUGCUUGAAUACGCCAUUUACAAAAUUCCGAACAACAUUGAGCCUUGAAACGUAUCGUUGUAGACCGUGCAAUCUUGAAAUCAAACUCAUCCCUAAAGGCAACCUUGCGCAAUUGUAAUAUUAACUCAUUCUUCUCAGCGAAUAGCUUACCCACACUGAUAUCAUCUGAGUCACAACUGCUAAGAAAGCUUGGAGCAACCAUGUUUGAAGGCAAAAUUGGAGCAAGACUUGUGAGAGAGUCAAUCCUCCUUCUCGAUCCAACCAUUGCAGGAAUAGAUCGAUUGUCUCUAUUAUUCACAGGAAUAUUAUCUUCACACCAUCCUCAUGCUGAAAUGACGGAAUAUUGGAAGGAUCGACUCCUCCAUUAUCACCUGCAUUAUUGAAAUGAGUGUCAUUCAUACUAUUAGAAAGUUCUGCACAAACAUUAUCCCCCUUUGUCUCAUCAAUAGGAUCAUCAUUGUCACGGAAAUCAUUGUUGUGAUACGGAGAAUACUGUUGCUCCAACGACAUCGUUAGUGGUAAUACCUCUUCUCCAACAUCCUCUAACGUAAUGCCGUUGUCAUCAAUGUUGUCAUUAUUGUCGUGAAUUGGAGAGUAAUAUUGCUGCAAUGACAUUGUCCUUGGCAACACCUCCUUUUCAUUAUCGAGGCCAAACAUAUUUGCUCUAAAGGAAGUUUUUGUUUCGACAAGUGGCUCAACAUCUUCGCUCGGAACUCGAGGUGAUGUGGUAACGAAUAUAGGAAUGCAUCCAUAGUUGGCCACAUUGGAUGCCAUAUGCAACACAACCAUCACCAUUUCAUCAUCAAAUAUAUCCAUGGGCAGUGCACAUCUACAAUAUAAUGUGUUACUAGACCUCAAAGUUGUUUUCAUUGUAAUACUAUAUUCAUUAGGAUUUAUUUGUAACACCUCAUAUAAUCUUGCCAAAAACUGAUCAAACAGAUAAUUUUUCCCAACAAAAAAACUCUAUUUUUACCAUUCACAUACUCCAUACGAUCAUCCUUUAAUGUCUCCCACCAACCAUCAUAACACAAUUCAAGCACAAUUGAAUCCAUUAAGCCUGAAAUUAUAAAAAUAAAAUUAAUUUCGCACUAUCAAAGUAAUAAAGAGUCAGUUGCAAUGAAUCUGCCUUUUGGUGCGAUAGGCUGCCUCGCACGGUUUUGGUGGGACAGGUUGCCCGUCGCACCAAAAAAUAGAGUCGAUGAAUUUGCCUCUUCGUGCGACAUGAGCCUGUCGGAUGAUCUCUUGGUGCAACAGACAGCCUAUCGCACGAAAAUUUCGUGCGACAGGUGCCUGUCGCACCAAGAUGCAAUUGUACUGAAACUCUCUCGCAAGUUGAGAAAAUAACUCUUACCACUCAGUGAUGUAGAUUGGUGUUGGAUCAGGAUCGAUUAUGCUCGGAGUUCACUUUUACCGUUCGCCGUCGGCGUUCGCCGUUGCCUUUUGCCGUCGCCAGUGAUGAUUCAAGAGUGUAAGGCUGCGUUUGGUUUGAUAAAAGGGAAGAAAGAAAGUUGCUUUUGGUUUGUAAACAAGGAUAAUUUGGGGAGAAAAUCUUAUGUUUGACUAAUGUUGAUAGAAAAAAAUUUAGAACGUUAAUUGUGAAAAUAACAAAAGUUUUUGAGUUACUUUGUAAAUUUCCCUUUUCUGCCUGCGCUGUAUGACAUACAGAGAUGCAUGGAAUGUUGACUCCCCAACAUAAUUAGGGGUUGCACGUGCCCUCACACAAGUUUGUCUACAGAAGAAAGGAUACGACUGCUAUGCACCAGUUCCAUUGACAGACUGCGUGGAAUUAAAUAUAUGGAAAAAUAAUAAUAACCGCAGGAUUUAAAGUACUAUACAAUCAACGGUUGAUGUUGAUUAAGGGAAUCGCAAGAACUAGGUGGCCCAGUUGAUGUUGUAGUGAAAAUGGGAGAACUAGGACAUGGCGGCCCAAUAAAUAUGUCUGCGAUGUUUAUGUGAAAUCGGGAAAAAAAAAUGAAGUGAGGAGAAUAGAAAGAAAAAAAAAAGGCAACCCCUGCUCUCGUGAUGGCCUAUGCAAAAAUUAAAAAACAAAAAUCUUAACAAGAAUAUACAUGCCAUUUAUUGACACUGAAUUUUUGUCUAUAUUAUUUUAUAGGGUGGUGAUAUUUUUACCAUACAAAUUCUAUAAAUCCACCGCACUUUUAAAAAUUAAUUAUAAAAGAUUCACAAUAUUUUUAAAAAUUUCAAAUAAAGAAGAAUUCUAAAGAAUUAAUCAAUUAAAUCUAUCUUAAUAUAUAUUUUUUAUAUUUUAAUUUUUUUUUUGUGAUUUAAAUUUUUUUAUUAUAUUUGACUGUUAAGAUUGGUUUAGUCUAAAUCUAAAUUGAUUAUUUUACCCUUAAAAAGUAAACAUACCAAAAAUUUACUUUAACAUUCUUUUUGUUUCAUACAAAAUUCAUUAUUUCCAAAUGGUCAAUUCUACUUUAUUAGUAUGAUUAUUAACCUUUAAUUAAACUAUCGUAAUGUUUUUAUGCACAAUACUCAUGUAAAUUAUUAGACUAUAAAAUUUAUGUUAUAUAAAAGAAAAAUAUUGAAAAUCAUUAGGCUACAAUUAAAAAGUUAGAUUAUAUGUCACAAAAUUAAGUACCUAAAGUAUUACAUAGAAGAACACAUAUUUCUUAGGGCAAUUAGGCCAUUUUAUGUCAUAAAGUAAAAUAAUUAAAUAGAACUUAUAUUAAAGCAACUUUAAUAGUAAAAAUAAACCUAAGAAAGAAAAAAAUAUAAGAAUGAUUUAAUAGAUUAAUUAUACAAAUAUUUUUUAUUUGUAUUUAUUAGAAAUAAAGUACAUUUAUUGUAAAUAAUUAUUUUAUUUCCUCUUUACAGUCAUAAAUUUUUUUCAUUAACCUUUUAUCCUUCAUUUUACUUGUUUAAUUCGUCUUUGCAUGAUUUCAAUUUCAGUAUUACUAUAUCAAAUUAGGAUACCAUUGUAAUAUAAUUUAACUUUGAUAUGCACUAUGGCCUCGCCCAACGCCUAUUCGGGAUCCAUAUAUGACUAGUCUUAAACACCAAAUUAGCAAAUUAUUAUGACCAAAGGAGUGGUUACAAUAGUUUGUAAACAGGUAUGGUUACUUUAAUUACACUAUGAAAUUAGCAAUUUAUUCAAUGUUGAAUUGAUCAUAUAAAUAGAACUAGUUGGAAAUGCAAUUACUUUGGCGAUAGUUGUUUUUCCAUAUAAAUUAUAAUAGUGAAGCACUUUCUUAUCAUGGGCUUCUUUUCCACUCAAAAGCCUCAUCUAGUUUCGAGCGAGCUGAUUGAAAACUUUUUUCAAAUCUCAAUACCCACAUGUACUUUUUUCGAACAUUUUAUAUCGUCUAUGCAAUAUCACCACACACGCUACAUUGAACCAAGCCUCACUGAAUAUAUAUUCAUCGGUAUAGUAUUGAAAUUAUCAAAAGAAUAUUUUUUUGAACCAAUUCAGUAAAAAAAGAUCAAAAAAUAAAUUUAAUCGUACUAAGGUUCAAUUGUUCAAUGGCCAUUUAAAUUAAUAAAUAAUAUUCAUGCCUAACACUAACUAAGAGAUUAACAGUUUUUACCUCUAGAGCAUUUUCGUUAACAUCACUUUGAUUUUCUUCAUCAAGUUUCAUAAUACCAACUCCAAGCCUCUUGCAUCCAAAUCCCACUCUACAGUCUCAUGCUCCACCUGGUCCAAUUUGUUUCUCUCCAUUUAUUUCAAUUCAACUACCAUCCACUAAAAGAAAUUAUAUUAGUCUAGGUUGUGACUUGAAAUGUAUUACUUCAAAAAUAGGAAAACAAAUUUGUUGAAUUUUAUCGUUAAAUAAUUUAGUAAUGACAGAACUAAAUUUGAUCCUAUUUGCCUUUGCAAUGUUAUUAUAUUUAGUUGUAAUUAACAAUAUAUAUAUAAAAAAUCAUGUUAAUACGUUAUAUUUAUCUUCAGUUAAAUAUAUAUAUCAAAGUACAAAUAUGAGGAACAUUUCUUAAUAAAUUUGUGACUUAAUGUUUAGUAUUUGAGACAACAAGAGACCAAUUAGAGUACUUGUGACAUGGAAAAUAACACUUUUGAACAUUAAUAAGCAACAGUUGUGAUGAUAAGAGACUUAACAACAGAACUUGUGACAAGGUGUAAAUAACUUGGAACAUUAACACACAAACAGUGAGAAUUGUGAAUUCAACCGGAAUAACCGGUUACUUUACAAUCAUUUUUGCACAUGUGUAACUUCAACAUGUCAUGGCAAAAUCAACCAUACAUACACCAGAUGCAUAGUAGGCAGACCCUCAGAGAAAUGACCAACAAUUAUUUAUCCUGGAUAAAUUAACUUACAAUUAUUCACAUAAAAAGUAUUUAUAUGGGAUUCACUCACUGUUUAUGUAUGUUACAUAACAUAUAACUUAGGAUCCUUAUACUAUUUGUUUUGUUUUAUUCACAUAACAAUCCGUCAAGCUAAUUGGGACCCACUGAGAAAAGUCCAAGAAGGUUUUCGACGCAUAACGCUUAAGAGAAUCACUUGAUGUAGUGAAAGUCACAUUGGGACCCAGUUGCGUAGAAAUUAGUCCCUCAUCACAUCCAUGUGGAGCCUACGUAUUAAAUAAUGCAAAAACUAUCGUACAAAGUUAAUAUUAUAGAUGAAGAGAUCCCUAACUAAGUUAUAUCACUUAUUUGGGGCCGCCUAUUUGGUAUAAUUUUGUAAUUUAGAUAACUUACAUCAUUAUUCGAGGAAUCAAAGUCCUAAAAUAAAAGAAGACACUUAUGAUCAAUCUUUUCAGUAGGUGUGGUAGAAAAAAUAAAUGCAUUAUGAUACUAUGGAUGAAAUGAUUAAUGCAUGCGUUUACGGUCCACAUUUUGCGAUUAUCCAAAAAGAUGAACAAGGAAAUGUACAAAACACAGAAUUGAAUUGACAAAAGGGGAUAAUAGCAAUAAGAAACUCGUGAUUCAAUCUUUGUCACGAAGUUUGUUGGUGCCUAUCCAGUGAAACAGCAUUCGGCAAAAUAAUCAAUCAUCUAACCUUUGGAGUUUUUCCAAAAAUUAAGUUUUUAUUUAUUUAUUUUAUUACUUAGUCUAACACUAAUCUAACUCCCUCCACGUUACAGAAUUUAAACUCUAAAUCUCUUAUGAUGUAGGACAUUAUUUUAGAAUUAUAAGAUUUUUAUUAUUUUAAGAUUUUUUAUUUUAAUUAGAAUUAACUAUGGUAUGUGUUUAGUCUUUUAUUUCUAUUAUAAUUGUAGAAAUAAAUUCAAAUAAAGUCAUAAAACAAAAAUAAAUUCAAAUAAAGGUAAACUUCUUCUCAAGAUACCGGACGCUCCAUUAAUAUUUUAUCUUUGGACAGACUAUUAACAUAUAAGUGAUAUCUCGGUGCAGCAAUCAAACAUUGAUAAUGAGAACACGUCAAACAAUAAAUUUUCCUUUACACCAAUUUAUUGUUCACAUGCAAAACCAAAAAAUCAUCAUGUAUUUAUUGCCACAAAUGCACAUGCAAUUCUAUCAAAUAUAGAUCUUCCUUUGUGCCGAUUGAUAUCCACAGAAAUUACAUAAAUCCAACUAUAUAUAUAUAUAUAUAUAUAUAUAUAUAUAUAUAUAUUAAUUUACUGAUUUAAUUUUCUUAAUACCAUAAGACAACCACACAUUGUUCUCAAAUUCAACAAUACUGAAAUUAUUAAAUUAGAGAACAUCAAAACUUUAAUUAUUAAUUGCAAAUAAAGUCGAUUCUCAAUUAUUCAAUAUGAAGAGGCUUUGAUUUCACUUGUUAGAACAAUAAUCCUUUGGUGAAAGCCAUCACUUAUAAUUCAGAAACAUUCAUGUUGUAUACUAAGCAACAAUAACAAAAUAUACAGAAGUGUAAUUGAAUCUAUAUUGUACAAUUACUCUCUAGAGUUGUGUAGUUAACAUUCCAGAUCAAUACAUUCUCUUAAAGAACCCUUUAAGUUUAUCUAUGCUCUCUUCCUAAUGAUGGGAUGUCAUAAAGAAUCAAAUAAUAUGUGUGACCUAGGGACUAUAACUACUUAUAUAGAUAACUUUUUCUGCUGUCCAGCCCACCAUAAAAAUAGAAAUUAUCCGUAAGUAUCUACACAUUAAAAGCUCACUGCUCACACCCUAUUAAAUACAUUGAAACUCAUAUUAUUGUAAAUGUUAAUAAAUCACUUUUAAUUGGACUAACUUUAUAUGAUAGUUUGUAACGAGUAAUUAUUUACAUAUAAGAUCAACAUUAGAUUAAGGAUCCAAUAAUGUUGACUUAAAGAUCCAACAAUUAGAGGUGACUAGUUACUAAGAAAAGAAAUAAAAAAUGAAAAUCAAGAUAUUUUGAUGAGAAAGUCAUGUCCACGCGCCUAAUUGAUUGAUCAGUAUGCAACAGUGCAGUGACCAUCUAUCUAUUCCUUCAAGCUCUAUAAAUAGCAAGCUCUUGUGCUUUAAUUUCCACCUGUCUAACAGCCUUCAAAAUAAUUGAAAAUUAAUCAACAAUGAAGAACACAGUACUAGCACUAGCUUUCUUCGUCUUUCUCUUUGCCUUUGCUGCAAAACCAUCUUUGGCUGCUCGUCAUGAGCCGUUAGUGCUUCAUUCCGAUGGCCAGGAGCUCCUCAUGGCUACCAGCAAUUGCGAUAUCGUAACUCAAUUUGAGUGUAAUGGUACGUAAUUAUUAUUGAGGACAUUAUCCUAACAAUUACUGGGUUAAUAAUACAACUGAGCUAAUUUUUUAAUAUGAGUUAGGUCCAUGUACUUUUAAAAUAUGGCAAUAAUUGGCUGUUGAACAAGUUUUAACCACUUAGUAAUUCAUAUAUGAAAUAUAACUGCAGGCAAGAGCUCAUGGCCAGAACUGGUUGGUGUAAACGGGGAGAUUGCUGCUGCUACGAUACAGAAAGAGAAUCCUAAAGUUCAUGCAAUCAUAAUACUUGAGGGAACUCCAGUUACACAAGAUUUUCGUUGUGAUCGGGUUCGAGUUGUGGUUGACAAAUAUGAGAAGGUGGUUCAAGUUCCUCGGAUUGGCUGAACUUCGACGAUUAUCUGCAAUCAUCAUGGCUGGAUGGAUGGUUAGGAUUAACUGCUUGUUUAUAAUCACUUAACUAUGUAUUAGUAAAAUAAAUGAACAAGUAGUGUUGUUUAAUAAAGCAUGCAUGGAUGUGCGUGAUAUCCAACAAUCGGGUUCUACGAAUGAGUGUAAUAAUACAACCUUUAUGUCUACACUUUUUAUUUUUAAUUUUUUUUCCCCUUGAUAAGAAAGCACGCUUUCACAGAAUCAUACUAAGAAAAAGGAUACAAGAGAUGAGUUGGGCAAGUCCCCAAAAAAACACCAGAAAGCUAAUUUUGCGAUUACAAGUUCUAGAAGUAUGUUGAAUUAUAGCAUAACUUAGUCUCCGAAGCUUUUCUUGAACUUCAGAAAUAGCCCAAAAAAUCUCCAGCUUGCUGUUCUUCUUGUUAGCAAUUAAAUUUAUUACGUCUUGCCAAUCUGUUUCGAGUAUCAGUGGUACACUUGUUGCCUCUUCUGCAAUUUCCUAGCCCUAAUUAGUUGCUUCAGCUUUUGCAGAUGCUACACUGUCAUAGUAUUUUGACUUCUUCACUCAGCAGCUACAAACUCUCCAUUGUGAUUCCUGGUGACAAUCCCAGGCUUAGCAUUGAUUUUUAGACUUGAUGGUGGCAUCCACGUUCACUUUGAACCAGCUUUUAAGAGGGAGUGUCCAGCUUGGCUGAGUUGCAGACACUUGCCUUGAACUUGCUUUCAUUUGAGGGGCUUUAAUUUUUAUGUAGGACUCAACUGUUACUUCAGCUUUAGCCACUAAUACCUGAGAAUCUUCUUCUUCUUUGUUUUUUUUCCAAAGAUGAAAAGAUUUCUGGAGUGUCAAAUAACCCAAAUAGGCCAUUGCAUAUUAAUCAGAGGUUGAAUCGCGACAGAAUUACAAAGCAAACCACGUAGUCAAAUACAAAUACAAACAUGAAGGCUCAUGUUGCACCCUUUAUCUGUCCUACGCACUAAUGACGUCAUUUCUGAUAAAUGAAUGAAGACUAUAUGUUACUAUAACAUGCCAACACUAAAAUUUCUUGAUAAGAUUUAGACGAUGGCGAAAAUAAAAUUAUUCAAUAAUUAAAUUAAUGAUUUUGUAGAAGUAUAUCGGCCUAAUUCAUACUAAAAAACUAGCUUAGGAGUUGGGGUUGCCCAAACCUACCAACACUAAAAUUUUUUAUAAAAAUUAAACAAUGAUGGAAAAUUUAAAUAAUUGUAAAAAAAUUGAUUAUAUAGAAACCCAUAUGCCUAACUUAUACUCAAAAGUUAACUUAAAAUUUGAGGGUUACCCAAACCUUAUAUAUUUAACCCGCGAAUAAUCUUCAGUCGAUGUGGUAUAUUGCUUCUAACAUCACCCAUCAAGGGCAUACUAGUCCUUUUGUUUAGUCUUUAUCACGUGGUAAAAGUAGUAUUAAUCCUCAAUCGAUGUGGGAUCAAUAUUGUCCCUAACACCCCGGUUGCAAGUAGAUUGGUUUUUUGGUUUGGCCCUUGUCACCUGGUAAGAUAGUAUUCAUUAUCAACCGAUAUGAUAUAUUGCCCCUAAGACCCUUAGUCAUGAGCAAAUUGGUCUUUUAGUCUAGUCCUUAUCACUUGGUGAGAUAGUGUUCACCUUUAGUCAAUGUAGGAUAUUGUCCCUCCCCUAUCACAUGUAGACUAGUCUUUUAGUUUGGUUGUUGUCACAUGGUACAUUCGUGCAUGACAGUGGCUCAAAUAUCAUAUGGAAGUUCAUAAAUCUUUCUCAUACUUAAAAACUUGUUCAAUAGUUGAAGGUUACCCAAACAUUAUAUACUUAACACAAGUCUCAUCCUCAGUCGAUGUAAAAUAUUUUCCCUAACAAAUUGUCUCCACUUUGAUUAUUGAUUAAAAAAGAUUAAUUGUCCAUGAACAUAAAAAUUGAUUGACUCACUUUUGCUAAUUAAUAAUAAGUCAUCCUUAUUUGUGAUAUGGGCGCUCAAAUAAUAGUAAAUUUUAUUACAAUAGGAAUGUUCAAAAUAAAUUUUAAAGUGCAAAUAACUCUACAUCUUUUCUUUUUAUACUCAACUAACUCUACAAUAUGUAAUUUUUUACAGGGUAAAAAUUUUUUUUGUCCUUAUAUUUUGAGGUUGGUUCUCAUUUAGUCUUUAUAUUUUUAAAAUACCUUAAAAUGUUUCUGUCGUUAAAUUAUUGAUACCCAUGUCAUUACCUUUUAUUCCUUUUGAUUUGUUUUUAUAAUAUUACCCUCUUACAAGAAUGUUUCUUUUUUUUGGGGACAUUAAUAAAAGGGGGAUUGCCAAUUUCCCCCUUACAGUAAUCAAUAUAUACCAUUUCCCCCCCUACUAUUUUUAUAAUGGCUAAAAACCCCCUUGACAGCAUAAAUUUACAAUAUUACCCUUAUUUUCAACUACUCUUUUAUUUACAUUUAUUAUAAAUUAAAUAAAUUGCAUGAAUAGAAACUAAAUAAAAAAAUUAAGUAUUAAAAAUAAGAAAUAUAUGUUUUGAUAUAAGAAAAAAUUAAUAAUAAAUUUUUUUUGUAAUUAUUUAUUUUGUGAACAUUUUCUUAUAAUAAAAUUUUGUAAUAUUUUAAAAUUAGAUGUAAAAAAUAUGGGCAAAAUAUUUUAUUAUUUAUCUUAUAAUAAAUUUUUAUUUUUCAUUCAAGUUUUUUAUAAUAAUUUUUUUAUCAUUUUAUAAUAAUUUUCUUAUAUAUUUAUUAUAAGAAAAUUUUCAAAAAAUAAAUAAGUACAAGAAAAAAAAUUUUCAUCACAUCCAUGUAGAGCCUACAUAUUAAAUAAUAUAAGACCAUCAUACACGAUCGAUAUUAUAGAUGAAAAAAAAUUAAGAGAUUCCUUACAUAAUAAUAAUGUAAGUUAUAUUUAUCAUAAUGUUGCAUUAAAUAAGUAUAGAAUUGUAUUAAAUAAAUUAUAUUUAACUUGUUUAGUGGAACUUUGUAAUUAAUGUAAUUUACAUAUUAUGUAAGGAUUAAAGUCCUGAAAUAAAAGAAGAAGAAACUUAUGAUCAAUCUUUUACGUAGGUGUGGCAGAAAAAAUAAAUAAAUGCAUUAUGAUAUUAUGGAUGAAAUGAUUGAUGCAUGUGUCUACGGUCUACAUUUUGUAAAUAUCCAAAAAGAUAAAUGCAUGUGUUUAUGGUCCAAAAAAAAAAAAAAAACAAUAAGAAACUCGUGAUUCAAUCUUUGCCACAAAGUUUGUUGGUGGCUAUCCAAUGAAACACUAUUCGGCAAAAUAAUAAUUCACCCAACUUUUUCAUCUUUUCUAAAAAUUAAUUAAUUAUUAUUUUGUUAUUUAGUAUAAGAGGUACAAUUAUUUACGGGAACAAAAUGAGGCUUAUCCUAAGCAAGAACAUAACAUCAGACGAAAGCGAAAGAGAAAGAGAAAAAAAAAUUAAAAAAAAAAUAGCACUCUGAAAGAAAGCGAGAAGCAUAAAUCAAAGAAACUGAUAACUGGGAAUCUAUUAACAUCAUUACAAAGUAACUCUUGCAUAGCAAUAGGCGGCCUUUUCUAUCAAGUAAAAUCAGAACAGUGGAGAUCGGCCAUCGUACUAUUUGCUGCGCAAGUGUGAGUGCAUAAAAAAUUCGCGGUUGAGAUGUUAAUUUUUCUUCACUGAAAUUAAUAUAUAUUAUUUAUUUUUUUAUAAUUUUUAUAAUAGUUAAUAAUUUUUCUGACAGUAUAAUUUUACAGUAUUAUUCUUAUUUUUUAAAUACAUUUUUAUUUAUACUUAUUAUAAAUUAAAUAAAUCAUAAAAAUAGAAAUUAAAAUGUAUUUUUUGAAGUGAACAAAAAAUUAAUAAAUUGACGAUUUUCUUAUACUUUUUUUUAAAUGUUUGGUUAUAAUAAAUAUAUCUUUUAUAUUUUCAAGUUAAAUUAUCAAGAAAAUAACCCAUUUAUACCACUUUUCCUUUAAACAUUUGGUGGUAAGAAAAUUUUGGCUAUUAUAAAUAUCAUACAGUGUAAGUGAUACAUGUUAAUUUCAAUAAACGAAAAAAUUGACAAUCUCUUAAAUUUCAUAUCUAAGAGUUUGACCUUACAAUUCUACCAAUGAUUUUUGAGACACCAAGGAGAACCCAAAGAACCUAUAUGUAGGAAACUAACAAUCACAACUGAAUCACUCAAGCCAAAGAUUAUACGAUAUUUUGCGAUCCUCUAUCAAAGGCCAAUUCAAUUACCAUGAAAGCAGCCAAAAGCUCUGAAAAAUAUGCUGAAUUUUUAACCUCAUGCCAAUCCAAAACCACCCAAAUGAUUCCUAAAAGCUCCACCUCAAGCCAAUUGUACGGUUUCCUUUCGAUAAGCCGUCUGAAUCCGCCUUAAUCCAUCAAAGAUUGAGGUGGAUGAUUUAUAAUCAAACAAACUAAGAGGCUAGUUUGGGAUUGUGGUGGCUGAUAAAAUAAACUACUUCUAUUGAUACAGAUGAAAUAAGCAGCUGAUUAGAAAAGUAGCUUGGUGUUUGGUUAACUGUGUUAUUAUGGUUGCUGUGAGUUUGAAAAGUAAAAUACACAUGUUUAAUAAAUUUUAUUACAAAAGUGUUAUUUUAUUAUAUAAUGAAUAAAAUAGACAAAAGUUUAAACUGCCUUUUACUUUUGUAUGUUUAAUAAAUUGUGUAGACAUGCCUUUUUUCUUUUUAAAGCACAUAAAAUUACAAAAAGUGCAGAAAACUCAAUUGAAUAAUAUCUAAUGAACUUCAUAAUCUGUCAUAUAAAAUAUAAUAAAAAUUCAUACUCAUACAUAAUCUGAAUAAAAUAAAAAGAAAUAUGCAUACUUUCACAUUAAACUUGUUAUAAUAAUAAUCCUCAAAUUUUUCAUUCUUGUGAUCCAGAACCAUUAAUAUUGUAAUACUCUUCUUGAAUGCCAUCAUCUCUUUCUAUUCCUUUAUCAAAGAUUGAAUUAGGAUAAUUUUCAAUGUUGUCAAAAUAAAGACCAUAUUGUGCAUGCCUCCUCGUAUAAUUGUGUAAUGUCAUGGCUGCAAUGACAUAAUUGUUAUUAGUGUAAUUUGAUUGUGGCAGUAAUAUAAUAUCUAAUGGUUCAUAUAUUAGAAAAUUGUGGUUGCUUAUUUAAUAAGUUGCUUAUAAAAAAUAAAUCCUUACUUGCUUUUAAAAGUUGUUAUCAAAAUAUAAAAAAUUACGAAAUAAGUAAUUUUUAUAAAAAAUUACGAAAUAAGUAAUUUUUAUAAAAUUUAUCAAACACUAUUUUUGUAAAAAUUAUGAAAUAAGCAUCUUAUUGAGUUUCAACCUUAAUUUACAAAUAGUGCCUAAGUAACUUUGCCAAAAUUGAGAGGAAUUCCGAGGAAAAAAAGAAUAAUGUUUAGUAUAUUUAUAAUAAAGGACAAGGCUCAUUAUGUUCCCUUAAUUUGUGCUAUUUUUUUUAUUAGUUUUCAAUAAAUUCCUUGGAUCAUUUAAAAAAAUAUAUAUCAAUCAACACUAAAUUUAAUAGCCCCCAGGGGUAACUAAAAAUAAGAUGGAUAACGCAAGUAUGAAAAUCUUCUAGCUCCAAUAAUUAAAUUAAAAUAACUAAUAAGUUGUGAUUUUUUCCUUAUGUCUAUAUGUUGGUGUGUAACGAGUAAUUAAAAAAAAUCUAAUUAAAAUUGAAAGACCUUUUUUGUUGUGAUGGCAAGAUUAUAUGUAUAUUACCCAAGUGUCAUCCCGGAAAAUAAAAAAUAAAACCAUUCACAAGAGAUCUUCUUUUUGAAAACUAAAUCACUUGAGAUAUGGAACUUUUAAAUAAUCAUGCCACAAAGGAAUACAAACCGUUGCAUUCUACGGUGCAUAUAGAUUUUGGAAGACCGUCCUAAUUUUCUUGUCAAGUUCAUCUGAAUUAAACAAUUUUCUAUAAUUUCACAAGUCAACUGGUUUACUUUAAUUUGUUCCUUUUUUGAAUCGACCGUUUAGUCCCAAAGACACAGCAAAUUCACCCAUGAUUUCUUGUUAUUUCUAUCAAUGAACUGGGACCAUUCAUUUGACAAUAUGACAGGUCCGUUUAUUGCGUUUUCUCCGCACACUAGGACUGAAUGAUAAGGCAUCGUCCGAUUAUGUGGUGUGGAUUUUAAGGGCAUUUUAUCUCGUGUCUUAUUACUAUUGUUUGCAUCUUAUACCAGAUUGAUUUGGAUGAAGAGAAAGAUUUCAAAGAAUUAUUAGUUUGAAUCCACUUUUCUACCUCUAAAUUUUCCAUGGGCCGCAAUCCACGGCGCAUAUUGAACCAGGUGGGGUCUAAUAACUACUGAGAAUAAGAUCAUGUGUUUAUCAUUUGGGUUCAGUUAUAUUAAAAUUCACCUAUAUAGAGCAUGAAUCUUAACCAUACAUACAAAGUAAUAAAUAAUAAAUUAUAAAUUAUAAUUAAUUUUUUAUAAUUAAUUUUUUUUAUGUAUAAUUAAAAUUCGUACUUCACCUGGGCUCCAACAAAAUCAUAUUCUUAUCAUUUUCUAUUUUCUAUAAGGUAGCUGGUAUUGGUCGAAAUUAUAUUUCAUGUUUACAGCUGCGAUUUCAAUUACGGUCGAGAAAUGGCCGACAAUUUUUUUUUAUUUGUUUUGUUUUAUUCACAUAACAACCGCUCAAGUCAAAUCAAAAGUCGGAUAAGAUUUUCCAUAUCUAAAGCAAAAGCCAGAUGGAUAAUUAUAUACGACAGUGAUCAUGUUGUAUUAGCCUAUAUAUAUUGGUUUUGGCAAGAUGACAAUUCGUACGGCAAUACAAAUGCUUGAUCUUAUCAGAUCGAUGAUUGCGAUUGUGUUUUCGCCGCGUAAUAUGACUUAAUGACAAGGCAAACGUCCGAUUCUGCGGUAUAGAUUUCAUGAACUAUGUUCAUCAUGCGUUUCCUAUGACAAUUACCAGAAUUGAUUUGGAUGAGAGCGACUUUAGGGAAUUAUUAGUUUGUGUGAUGGUCCAUACUGAAAAUAUAUGCAUCAGCAAUUUAACGUAUGAAAUAAAGAAAUAAUAGCCAUUAUAACGAGUCCGGUUGCAAGUGCUGAAAGGAUCGAUUAAUAAUAUACAGAAUCUUCUUCAGAUAAAAAUCAAGAAAUUAAUCGGAUCAAUCUUUGGUGGGGGCGGUAAUGUUUGAUGUGGCUUAAGAAAAGUGAUGAUAUUUGACCCCUCAAUAUAUUUCAACAGCCCACUUCUUAGUUAUCUCUAUUAAUUUUCAAAAUACCCUUAUUCAUUUAGUUUUUUUUUUUUGGUCUUAUUCAUUUAAUUUAACUCUGCAGCUCCAAACUCAUUGAAUUUCAAGUCACAUGUUGGCCAACAAUGGUCUUGGAACUGAAAAUAUGACUUUUCAUAAGUUAUUGUAGACACAUAGUACUUAUAUUAAAAGCAUUAACUCACUAAAAUAAAUAAAUCAAUACAAAUUGCAAACGGAAAAAAAAAAAACAAAAAGCCACAGAAACUAUUAGAAACCUUGGAGAAUGAUGGCUGAGUCAUUGGAUUGUUGGUAUCAGUAUUGUCUUCGUAAAGCAAACGCGCUAAUUUUCAAUCUUUAAUAUAAAAAUCAAUUGUUGUGAUGGGUGUUUGGCAGGAAAGGAAAUGAAAGAAGUGAAGGAGAAUGAGAGAUAGGGGAGAGAAAAAAAAUGGGUACUUUUUGAAAAUAAAAAUUAUUUUAGUAAGUAUUUUAGACAUUUUAAGUUAAAUAUGACUUAAUGAGAUAAGUUUUGGAGGUCAAAUAUCACUAUUUCCUUAAAAAAGAGUGAAGCUAUUGGCGCCCCCUCAUUAUCUUUAUAAAAUCCUGCCUAAAAUAAAAUUAUAGUUAAGGAUAAAAAAAUGUGUGUUUGGUAUGACUUAUCUAAAUAUUAUAAAUACUUAUUUAAUCUUGUAAGCUCUUAUUAAAAUUUAUUUUGUUGUUUGAUUUUUUUUUUGUAAAGUUUUUAAAGCUUAAAAAGUUAUCUUACCUUUACUAGCAAAAAUUUAAAUUUUGGGUUUUUUAGAAUAGAGAUUAAAUAAUUUUUUAAAUGUUAAAAUAUCUAAAAUAUCUUCUACUUAUUUGAUAAUCUUAUUUUAUUCUUUCUAUAACAUAACUUUUAGAAAUUUACCUAUUAAAGUAAUUUUAUAAUUUUUAAUAAAAACUAUCAUUGACCACUAAAUAACUAAAAGAAAUUAUUUACAAAAAUUAAUUCUACAAAUUAAAAUAACUUACCUCCCCGGCAACGGCGCCAAAAACUUGUUUUGUAAAUUUUAUUGAACUCGCAAGUACACGAAUCUAUUGUAAUAUAGAUUAAUGGUGACGAGUGUCGAUCCCACGAGGAGGUGGAUUUUAAUUGUGUGUAGAAUUAAUUUUUCUAAGUGGGUGGUUGGAUUUGUGGUAAAGAUCAUUUGGAAUAUUCUAAAAUUAAAAUUAAAAUGAUGAUAAUAAAUUGAAGUGAAGAUCUAUUGAAAUGACGUACUUUGGUAUCUGGAUCCGCAUCAACAUGCACCAUGGGCUAAAUAUUCCUUAUUAAUGCUAAUUAAAUCAUGAGGGGGGAUUUUCACUCCUCAUGAACCACACUCUAAUCAAUAUGGUGCUUAGGGCUUAUCGUGCCAAAUAAUAAUAACCUUGUACUAGGGAGCCGGUGAAACCAGAGCGGUAUCUAGACAAUAUUAUUAUUAUUUGUCGACGAAAAGUCAAAACAUCCACAAUAAUUAGAGGGGAAUAGAAAGUAAAUUUACCAAAUAAAGCCCAUGACACAUGUUGAGACUUCACCUUCAACCCAAGCUUGAAAGAAAAUUAGCUACUCAUAAUUGAACUAUGGGCAAAAUGAGAAUUUAUUAAAAUAUAUAGAAAAUACAAGAUGGAGAAUGAAUUACAGAAAAUGGAGCUCAAAAAUGGAUUCAGGGAUGCCAAAUUAGGGGGGGAGACCUAUUUUUAUAGAUACAUUGAGUAAAUCAUGGCAAUCGAAUUAAAAACAAUUUGGACGCUUAGGAUUGUGUCACGUCAUCAGUUAACAGUACGCAGUUUGACCACGUGAUUUGAACAGUCAAUCGGCUUAAACAGUGACGCGGUUUGGUUGAAAAUAAUCCUGUGUAUAUGCAUGUACCGUACGCGUGAUUUUUGGUCCACUAACAUGCUACCACGCCACCGAUCAACAGUGCAUAAGAAUUUUCUCCAAUGGAAUCGUGACACCUCAUCAGUCAAUGCCACAUCGUCAGUCAAUGCCACGUCAUCAUUCCGAAUGUGUGAACAGUGUCGUGAACAGUAACAUGGACAGUACCGUACAUGUGAACAAUGUUAUUUUUCCUUUUAUGCUCCUCCUAAGGUUUUCGACUGUCCUCAGUUCAAAAGUAAUCUCCGUUUUGCUGUAUGAAUUCUUGUUCAUUGUAAAAUGACCAUGAUACCCUUAAAAUACAUAAAAUACUUAAUUAAAAUAAAACACAUAUAAUUAAAUUACAAGAGACUAAAAUACAUAAAAGUAGAAGUGUUAGUAAGACUUGAAAUAUAAAAUGACAAUUUUCUCCUUUAUAAGUAUACACUUUCUAAUACUCAACAAUAUACCUGCAAAUCUGGGUAGAAAUCAUUUUCUAGCAAGAGUUUCCAACCCUUUCUCACCAAUAUGAUCAAUGUUGUGCAAAUUUUAUUGAACUCGCAAGCGCACGAAUCUAUUGUAGAAUAGACUAAUGGUGACGAGUGUCGAUCCCACGAGGAGGUGGAUUUUAAUUAUGUGUAGAAUUAAUUUUGUAAAUGGGUGGUUGGAUUUGUGGUGGAAGUGAUUUAAAUUAUCCUAAAAUUGGAAUUGAAAUGACGAGAAUAAAUUCUAAAAUUGGAAUUGCAAUGGGGAGAAUAAAUUAAAGAGAAAUCUAUUGAAAUGACGUACUUGGGUAUCUGGAUCCGUAUCAACAUACACCAUUGGCUAAAUAUUCCUUAUUAAUGCCAAUUAAAUCAUGAGGGGGGUUUCCACACCUCAUGAACCACGCUCUAAUCAAUAUGGUGCUAAGGGCUUAUCGUGCCAAAUAAUAAUAAUCUUGUACUAGGGAGCCGGUGAAACCAAGGCGGUACUAAACAAGAUUAUUAUUAUUUGUCGACGAUAAGUCAAAACAUCCACAAAAACUAGAGGGGAAGAGAAAAUAAAUUUACCAAAUAAAGCCCAUGACACAUGUUGAGACUUCACCUUCAAUCCAAGCUUGAAAGAAAAUUAGCCACUCAUAAUUGAACUAGGGGCAAAAUGGAAAUUUAUUAAAAUACGUAGAAAAUACAAGAUGGAGAAGGAAUUACAGAAAAUGGAUCCCAAAAAUGGAUUCAUAGAUAUCAAAUUAGGGGGGGAAGCCCUCUUUUUAUAGAUACAUGGAGUAAAUCAUGGCCAUCGAAUUAAAAAUAAUUUGGACGCUUAGGAUUGUGCCACGUCAUCAGUCAACAGUGCGCGGUUUGACCACGUGGAUGAACAGUAACACGGUUUGACCCGGGUGAACAGUGACACGGUUUGGUUGAAAAUAAUCCUGUGUGAUGCAUGUACCGUACGCAAGAUUUUUCGUCCACUGAUAUGCUGCCACGUCACCAUCAACAGUACAUAAGAAUUUUAGCCCAACAGGAUCGUGACACCUCAUCAGUCAAUGCCACAUCAUUGGUCAAUGCCACGCCAUCGAUCCGUCUAUGUGAACAGUAUCAUGAAUAGUAAUGUAGACAGUACCAUAUAAGUGAAUAGUACCGUACAUGUGAAUAGUGCCAUUUUUCCUUUUAUGCUCCUCCUAAGGUUUUUGACCAUCCUGAGUUCAAAAGUGAUGUCCGUUUUGCCGUCUGAUCUCUCGUUUAUUGUGAAAUGACCACGAUACCCCUAAAAUACAUAAAAUACUUAAUUAAAAUAAAACACACAUAAUUAAAUUACAAGAGGCUUAAAUACAUAAAAGUAAGGGUUGUUAGUAAGACUUGAAAUGUAAAAUGACGAUUUUCUCCUUUAUAAAUAUGCAUUUUCUAACACUCAACACACCCCCAACCAGCUUAUUGCUAGUCCCUAGCAAAUAAAGUGAAAACAAAAUUCAAAUCCAAAAUGAUUUUUUUUUUUAAUAGAAACACUCGUGUUUAUUCAAUCAGAUUAAUGAUAGCAAUCAAAUAAAAGUAUAAACAUUAUCUCCAGUCUAAAGAAACAUCACACCCACAUCAACCAUCCACAUGAAUCAGCCCAGUAGACUUUGUUAUAGCUACUUUCAAGAAUGACAUGUCAAACCCCAAAAUCUCACUGGAAGUAGUGACACUCUCACAAAGAAAUUAAACCCAAUAAAAAUAGUCACUCCAAUGAAUGGUAAUUGAGAGAAAAUAAUAAAGAAAUGAUAUCACAUGCUCUCACCAAGAUGAAAGAAAUAUGCCCUCAGCUUAGAAAUAAUACGAUCUCAAGUCAAACAAAAAUGCUAGUCAACCCAUUUUAUUUAUCUUUUUUUAUUAUUAUUAUUAUGCACUACUACAUCUUUUUAGCCCAUAUAACUAACUUCUACUUCAAACUAUAGUUCCCUAAAAUCAAGAAGGACUUUUGUUAAGACGUAACGUAGGCUAGGGACAUGGCUAACACGGAAGGGAAAUAAGGAAAACAAAAUAUAUGUUUGAGAAAAAUGCAGAGAAUUUUUUUUUUUUGAAGUUGCAAGGUGUAUUUCACCUAUUGUUGUUAUUUUUAUUCUUUUGAAACAACAACUUUUGUUUUGUUUUUUAUUAUUAUUAUUUUUAUUUGGCAUAACUUCACUGAACAAAAUAAUUAUUUAUAUUUUCUCAAACAUAAAUAGGUGAUGGAACUUAUAAGACAUCGGGUAAUACUCCAAAUCGGAGUGGGUCAAGAUGAUAAGUUGACAAAGAAAAUAUUUUUUUUUUUUAAAGGCUCAAAAGGGUUAACUAUGAAUAUUUAAUAAAGGGAUGACUAGAAAUGCUCAAACAGAUCAAAGAUGGCAUUUUCAUCGUCUUUUAGGGCUCUAAAUAAUCAUCCAUAUCUACUAGUUAGAUGGGCCUCCCAAUGUAGCAAUACAUUUUUUUUUUUUUUUUUUUUUAUUUUACAAUUUUUUUUUUUAGGGUUAACUCAAAAGAAAUCUAGAGAUCGUGUAUAAAAUAAUAAACUUCUAAGCUGUAUAGAGAAUGAGCAAAAGGGUUACUCUCCAAGAAAAUGAUAGGCUCAACAACUCACUUGACAUUUAUUUAUGACAUGUUCAUUCCUUCAAGCAACUCAUAUUUGUCUCCGACAUCAACAUGUAAAGUAGCAAACAUAGCGUAACAUUACUUAAGACCAAAGAUAAUACAAAUACUAAAAUUUGAAAUUAAUCAUGUCAUUCAAUGUUAAAACAAAUCACACAAUUUUUUUUUUUAAACAACAUCUACCCCCCAACCUAUUCUAAGUAUGAAAGGAAAAUAUGCAAGCAGAAAUGUGAAUAUGAUGCAGAAAAACUAAUUAGAAAAGUUACACUUAAAAUGAUAGAAAAAGAAAAUGGUUUUUUUUUAAAGGCUCAAAAGUUUGAAAAUGUAUAUUUAUAGAGGAGAAAUUAAAAAAAGGAAUAAAACAAUUUUUUUUUGUUUUUUUUAAUUUUUUUUUUCAAACGAUGAAGAUGCGUUUCUAUAGUCACUACACUCCAUAUUUAGCCAUCUUCAACACAAAAAGUUAGCAACAGUUAGUUUCUACAACAAAAAAUCAAUAAAAACUUAACCAAGAUUCCACAAUUGUCGAUUAUUCCCUCCCCCCAACCAGAACGAAACAUUGUCCUCAAUAUUUGAAAGGAAAGAAGUAGAGUUUAGAAGACAUCACCUGGGUUGUGCAACACAGAAGAAAAUAUUUACAGGCGGAGAGUUAAAUCUAAUUUGUACUUCUUACUGCGGCUACUGUUACCAUCAUUAUUUGGACGCUCCAACACAAAGGUCUAGGGGUCUGGCUCCGGUCUAUAAGCUUGUAACAUAUCAAGUAGCUCAUUAGCAGUGUGAGAACAAAUAAAGAGUUUUUUCGCAUUGGAAUGAAUGAAAUAGUUUUUUAUUGCAUGGUUAAGAAAUCGAUAAAGCCAUCAUAAAAGUUAUUGACAUUUAACAAACCGAUGGGUUACUGGUGGAUGUGCAGAUGGGCCCAAGAUGCUAGUGUGAUAAGUGCCUCUAGUGUUGCAAGAUCUCCUGGAAGGAAAAUAAAAGCAUUAGCAUGAUUAAGCAGUUCAGUUAUUCUUUCUUGCAUACCUGAGACGACUAACUCUUCUCCAGUCGAUGAGUCAGACAAACUGCCCAAAGGUUUUAGAGCUCUUGGGAUGAUGCCUAACACUUGGCUUCCUCUGAUAAAAGCAGCUUCUGAGACCAAUUUUAAUAACCCUCGGUUACCUCCUCCAUACACCAAGUGUAAUUUUCUCUCUGCUAUGCUUCGACCAAGAUCUAUGGCUGCCUUAACGAACUCUUUAUGUUUGCCAUAGGUAAAUCCAGAAAGCACACAAAUGUUCUUGAAUUGUCUAUUGGGAGUAGCUGCCAUUGGAAUACUUCUCAAAAACAAUUUGUGAGUGCUUGACAAAAAAUCACAUUUAAGAGUCUUGGUGACAGUGGGUCACAGUUGUGUAUGAGGUAACAUGUCAGUGUCAAAUAACGCGAAAAAAAGAAAACAGUAAAAAGGAAAAAGCAAACAGUAAUAAAAUUAUUAAAGACAAUAAUGCACACAAUAACCCAAUAGUGAAAUAAAAUAACAGUAAAGUAAAAGGAUAUUUACAGGUAGUUGCGAUUGUGGCUCACAUCUUCCUCUGAUUUUACGUCCAGAAACGGCUUGAACGCCCUCUAUGGGUCGAGGAUAGGCUUCCCAUCGAGUUUUCUUAUAAACUGGCAAACAGGGUCGUUUAUAGUCAGAUCCCGAGACUAUAUCGUGCAUGCUCUUUCUGGAAUAAUGGCCAUAACUGGAGAAUCGCUCCUUGCACAUAUCCACUGGGAUGCGUUUCAAGAGACAGAAGGAUAUCAUCCAAUGACUCCUUAUUCAAGCCAUCCCUAAUGAAUUGAAUCUUAUUUUCCCUGUUAUCAGACACCAUUCCUAAAGAACAUGGGUUUUUAUCGCAACUCAUUCUGGCACACUUAUGACAAGCAACAGAAAUUCUUCGAGCUCGUCGUUUUCUUACAUAAUUUCCUUUACCACAACCAGGCAUGUAUGCAAUAAAUUUUGGAGGUAACUCACCUGCCGAUCGUACUUUAGCCUCGAUUAACCAACGGAUGUCAGCAGGUAUGUUAUUCCUCAUGAGUAAUCGCAUGCGUUCGGACCGAGCUUUAUAGAUCGUAAGGAGGGCAUUAUGAGAAAGUGAAGGGAAUCGCUUGUGAAGCUUCGCUAGAAUGUCGUUUCAGUCCAUACUUUCGCCUCAGAAUAUCAGUUAUUAUGGAAAACUGAAGUAACCGACUUGAUUGUCACGGAGUACCGUUAUCUGCCACUUCAUUGGGGUAACAAACUAAAGUACACAAACAGAAAAACAAAUUAAAACACACAAAGAAAAUUAAAAUCGUCCUCUUAUUGAAUUUACCUCAAGCUCCAUCUGGAUGUCGUAAACACUUCUCUCAAUGUCUCUGAGUUGGCUUUCUAAACCCUCAACAUAGGCUACUAACUCUGGUGGCUGUAGAGCCCAAAUGCGAUGUGUUUUACAAAAUUGAAUCUGCCUUUUGAGAUGAGUUUUGACACAUUGAAGUGGUUUAAGAAUGUUUAGGAGGAACGGUCUAAGUAAGGUACUCAUGAUUAAAAAUGAUAAGAGAAAACUUAAUGGUAAAACAAAUACACUUAUGCAAAAAUAAUUUCAAUUAGCAAAUAAAAAGAAAGAAAGAAAAAUCAAAUCAACGAAAAGAAAAAAAAAUCAAUUCAAAUAUGGUGGGUCACUCAAAUUUAUUUCGGUGUCUUCUCCAUGUGGUUGGUACUCUAGAUAUGGCUUUAAUCUUUGACCAUUAACUUUAAACGCGACACCGUUCUUUGGGUCCUUAAUUUCAAUUGCCCCAUGUUGAAAAACAGUAUGAACAAUAAAGGGACCAGAUCAUCGAGAGCGUAACUUACCUGGGAAUAGGUGCAAGCGAGAAUUGAAUAAAAGCACUUUCUGACCUGGAGUGAAAGAUUUUCUCAUAAUGUGCUUAUCAUGAACGACUUUCAUUCGUUACUUGUAAAUUUUGGCAUUUUCGUAUGCAUCAUUGCGAAUUUCUUUAAGUUCUGCCAGUUGUAAUCUUCUUUCUGAGUUGGCUUGUUGCAUGUCAAAGUUGAAUUUCUUGAUGGCCCAAUAUGCACAAUGCUCGAGUUCCACAGGUAGGUGGCAAGCUUUUCCAUACACUAGCUUGUAGGGUGAUAUCCCAAUCGGGGUCUUGAAAGCCGUUCUAUAUGCCCAUAAUACAUCAUCAAGUCUUAAUGACCAAUCUUUUCUGUCCGGCCUCAUCGUCUUUUCUAAUAUGUGCUUUAUUUCUCGAUUGGAGAUCUCAACUUGGCCACUGGUUUGCGGAUGAUAUGGGGUCGCCACUUUGUGUGUGAUGGAAUACUUUGUCAAAAGAGUUUUGAAUGAUUUGUUACAAAAGUGGGCACCACCAUCACUGAUUAUUGCUCGAGGAAAUCCAAAGCGCGAAACAAUAUUGCUUUUCAAAAAUCCUAUCACCACCUUGUGAUCAUUAGAUCUACAUGGAAUUGCUUAUACCCAUUUCGAUACGUAGUCAACAGCAACCAAUAUGUAUUGAUGACCAAAAGAAGGGGGAAAUGGUCCCAUGAAGUCGAUACCCCAUACGUCAAAAAUCUCAACCACUAAAAUUGGAUUUAGUGGCAUCAUGUUCCUUCGUGUAAUGCUCCCCAUUCGUUGACACCUAUCACAUGAAGAACAGAAAGUGUAAGCAUCUCGAAAUAUAGUUAGCCAAUAGAAACCACAUUGUAAAACUUUAGUCGCUAUUUUCUUAGCACUGAAAUAGCCUUCACAAGCUUGUUCAUGGCAAAAUGAAAGAAUAUUCUGAAUUUCAUUUUCUGGGACACAUCGUCUAACAAUUUGAUCUGCACAAUACUUGAACAAAUACGGGUCAUCCCAAAAGAAAUUCUUUAUUUCUGCAAAGAAUUUAGCCUUGUCUUGCUUGGUCCAAUGCUCUGAAAGUUUACCUGUAACAAGAUAAUUAACUAUAUCAGCAUACCAAGGUAAUACUUCCACACUCAUUAAUUGUUCAUCUGGAAAUGACUCAUUCAAUAUUAAUGGCUCUGUAAUUGUGUCAAAAUGGAGACGAGAGAGGUGGUUCGCCACAACAUUUUCUGUCCAUUUCUUAUCUUUGAAUUCCAAGUCAAAUUCCUGCAAAAGUAACACCCAACGAAUUAGUCUAGCUUUUGCAUCUUUCUUUGUGAGAAGUUAUUUAAGAGCAGCAUGAUCUGUGAAUAUAAUUAUUUUACAACCAAUGACAUAAGAUCGAAAUUUCUUUAAUGCAAACACUACUGCUAGCAAUUCUUUUUCAGUAGUUGAAUAGUUCAACUGUGCAUCAUUCAAUGUCAUACUAGCAUAGUAAAUAACGUGGGGAAUUCGAUCAACUCUUUGUCUUAAAACUGCUCCUACUGUAUAAUCAGAUGCAUCACACAUGAGCUCAAAUGGUAAGCUCCAAUUUGAGGGCUGGAUGAUGGGUGAUGAUGUCAACAAUUGCUUUAAUUUUUCAAAAGCCACAAGACAUGAAUCAUUAAAGAUAAAAGGUACAUCCUUAGCAAGUAGUUUGCAUAAGGGUCUAGAAACUUUGCUAAAAUCUUUAAUGAAACGUUUAUAAAAGCCAGCAUGCCCAAGGAAAGAUCUUACUUCUUUGACUGUUUUGGGUGGAGGAAGAUUAGAAAUAAGAUCCACCUUGGCUUUGUCAACCUCAAUACCUUUGCUCGAAAUGAUGUGACCGAGAACAAUACUUUGUUCUACCAUAAAAUGGCACUUCUCCCAAUUCAAGACUAAGUUCUUUUCGAUACAUCUCUGUAGAACUAAUGUUAGAUGAUGUAAACAUUGAUCAAAUGAAUCACCAAAGACAGAAAAGUCAUCCAUAAAAACUUCAAGGAAUCGUUCAACCAUAUCAGAAAAAAUGCUUAACAUGCAUCGUUGAAAUGUAGCAGGUGCAUUACAUAAUCCAAAUGGCAUUCUCCUAUAUGCAAAAGUGACAAAAAGGAAAGUGAAAGUGGUCUUUUUUUGAUCUUUUGGUGCUAUGAGAAUCUGAUUAUAUCCUGAGUAGCCAUCUAGAAAGCAAUAAAAUUCAUGGCCUGCUAAUCUAUCAAACAUUUGAUCAAUAAAUGGUAAAGGAAAAUGGUCUUUACGUGUGACAGAAUUCAACUUUCUAUAAGGAAUGCAUACACGCCAUCCUGUAGUUACUCUAGUGGGUAUCAAUUCAUUAUCGGCAUUGGUAACUACUGUGACUCCUGACUUUUUAGGGACAACUUGUACAGGACUGACCCAUGAACUAUCAGAAAUGGGGUAAAUGAUACCUGCAUCUAAUAGCUUAAGGACUUCAGUUCUAACAACUUCUUUCAUAUUAGGAUUUAACCAACGUUGCAUUUCCCUAGUAGAUUUAGCAUUUUCAUCGGGGUGAAUGUAAUGCAUGUAGUCUACUGGGUUUAUACCUUUUAUGUCCGCUAUGGUCCAUCCUAAUGCCCCUUUGUGCUCUUUUAAAAUAUCCAACAACUUACCUUUUUGUUCGUCGUUUAGGGAUGAUGAGAUGAUUACCGGUAAAGUACUUUCUUGUCCCAAAAACGCAUAUUCCAAUGUGUUGGGUAAUGGUUUGAGCUCGAGUUUCGGUGGUGAUUCUGAUGAUGGGAUGAGUUUCUUCUCUGAUGGUGCUAGUUGUUCAACUCUUGACUUUCAUUUAUUAGUGUCCAUGGAUGGUACUGAGUCAAGCAGGGUGUUGACCUCAUCAACCGAUCUGUCAAUAUCAAAAUCCAAACCAAAAUGAGUUAAGCAUGUUUGUAAAGGGUCAUCACUGAGGUUUGAAAGAAAAGUAUCAUCAACUAAUGCUUCAAUUAAAUCCACAUCCACAAUUUCAUCAUCUGCAUUGUGAGGUUGUUUGGCAAUGUUGAAGAUGUUCAGCUCCAUAGUCAUGUUGUCGAAGGACAACUGCAUAUUUCCAGUCCUGCAUUGAAUGUGAGCAUCUGCAGUUGCCAAGAAAGGUCGGCCUAGAAUAAUGGGGAUGUGCUUCCUUGAAUCCUGUAUUGGUUGAGUGUCAAUUACAAUGAAAUCAACGUGAAAAUAAAACUUGUCUACCUGGAUAAGCACGUCCUCCACAAUACUACAAGGUAUUUUCAUCGACCGAUCUGCAAGCUGUAACACCACUGGAGUUGGGUGUAAUUCUCCCAGUCCAAGUUUCACGAAUACUGAAUAAGGCAACAAAUUUACACUAGCUCCUAAAUCCAACAAAGCAUUCUCAAUUGUGUGGUUCCCUAUACUACAUGAGAUAGUGGGGGAGCCUGGGUCUUUGCAUUUUAAAGGAAUUUUAUGUUGGAGUAUAGAACUAACGUUUUCUGUUAAAAAUGCCUUCUUUUGAACAUGAAUGUUUCUUUUUUUAGUACAAAGAUCUUUAAGAAACUUGGCAUAAGAUGGAACUUGUUUUAUAGCAUCAAGUAAAGGGAUGUUAACACUUACCUGUUUGAGGAUUUCAAGAAUCUCACCUGUGGAUUUUCCCUUCUUUCCUUUCGCUAACCUUUGAGGAAAUGGAGCUUUGGGAACAUAUUCGCGUUGGUUUGUUUCUUCUUUCUCCUUUGGUGAUGAGUCUUCAACAUUCACAGGUACAAUUUGAUUUUCUUUUGUCACCGGCAUCUCCACUUUGUUGUCGACUUCUUUUCCUUUUCGCAAGGUCAUGACAGCUUUGACCUCUCCAUGCUGUUGUGGUGAACUGGUACUUGCUUCAUGUACUCCUUUCGGAUUAGGCACUGGUUGACCUGGAAAUUUACCUUUCUCAACAGUCAUUGCCAAGGUCUGAACUGAAGAAGCAAGUUGUCCCACCAUCUUCUCGAGGCUUGAAACUGAUUAGGCUUGUGACUUGAAGCCCGCUCUCAACUCAUUUCGUAAUCCAUCAAUGGUGCUGUUCUGUUGCUCAAUCGUGGAGUGAGUAAGAUUCUUGAGAUUCUGGAAUGAAUCCUCCCAUGGUCUGGGUUGAGAGUAGUUCUGGUUUUGAUUGUAUGGUCUAAAUGGUGGCUGAGAGGCUUGAGGAUUUUGAGGAAUUUGUUGCAUUGGUGGAGCUGGAGCUGCUCGUCCAUUCUGUUGGAAUCCUUGAGACCAUGAAAAAUUGGGGUGGUCUCUCCAUCUAGGGUUAUAUGUGUUGGAGUAUGGGUUGUAAUUUGAUGGUUUUCUCAUUACUCCUAUGGCAUUGGCUUGAUCAGAGUAUGAGUCAUGGUCAUGUGGUUCUGUUGAUUUAGCAGUCGAUAACGAUGCUAUUUGUCGAGCAAGACCUUCAACCAUCUCAUUGACUUCUUUGAUUCCCGAAGUUGACUCGCCAAUUUGAACCUCACUUACUCCCUUAAUUCUUCUAGUAUUCCUAAGUGAUCGACUCCAUUGUUGGGAAUUAUCCGCUUGUCGCUGGAAGAAUUUCCAAAUCUCUGUUGCACUUUUUGACAUUAACUCUCCUCCACUUGUUACCAUUAGUCAUUCUUACACGUUCGGCAAUAAUCCCUCCAAAAAGUAUUGGCAUUGGUGCCAUUUCUCGUACCCAUGAUGUGGACACUUCAAGAGUAGCCCAUUAAAUCGCUCCCAUGUUUCGGAAAACUGCUCGUCUUCUCCCUGGGUAAACUCUGAGAUUUCCCGGCGAAUAGCAUUGGUUUUAUACACUGGGAAAUAUUUAUUCAAAAAUUUAGUUACCAUUUGUUCCCAUGAUGUGAUGCUAUUGGCAGGUAAUGUAUUUAACCAUGAACGAGCUCUAUCCUUUAAAGAAAAUGGGAAUAAUCUGAGUUUAACAUCAUCGUCUGAAAAAUUUUCAUAUUUAAAAGUUUGACAAAUUGCAUGAAAAUCAUUCAGAUGAUUAUAUGGGUCCUCAUUUUCUAGGUCAUAGAAUGUUGGGAGACAAUUUAGCACACUAGGUUUUAGUUCAAAACUCUUAGCAGCUACAUUUGGGUAUCUUAUGCAUGAUGUGCUCAAAUUAGCUAAGGGACUGAAAUAAUCCUUAAAUGGCCUCUCCUGUGGUUGCAAAUCCAUUUUAUUUUUAACUUGUUUGUGUGUGCGAAGUGUUUUAUCAAGUUCAAGGUCUAUAGGUUCAAGAUUAGGUAAUAAUGACCUACGACCAUGCAUGCAAAACAAAUAAAAUAAAAAUAAAGAUGGGAACAAAAUAAAUAAAAAUAAAGAAGAAAGAGAAAUUACGAUACUAACCUUAUCACGCUGUUACAACCUUUCUAUAAAAACACACUAAAACAAAUACGUGAAAUAAAUUAACUAAAAAUUAAAUUAAUAAGAUAAACAAAAAAAAAUUAUAAAGAAAAAUAAAUUGAAAAAUAAAUUACAGAAUUUUAAAGAAGAGAAAAAGAAAAGAAAUACUAACCUUUAAAUGUAGAUUCAUUUUUUUCUUUUUUUUUAAAGAAAAAAAAUACAAGAAAACAAUUAAAUGGAAUUAUUCACAAAAAUUAAUUCUAUGAAUUAAAAUUACUUACCUCCCUGGCAACGGCGCCAAAAACUUGUUGUGCAAAUUUUAUUGAACUCGCAAGCGCACGAAUCUAUUGUAGAAUAGACUAAUGGUGACGAGUGUCGAUCCCACGAGGAGGUGGAUUUUAAUUAUGUGUAGAAUUAAUUUUGUAAAUGGGUGGUUGGAUUUGUGGUGGAAGUGAUUUAAAUUAUCCUAAAAUUGGAAUUGAAAUGGCGAGAAUAAAUUCUAAAAUUGGAAUUGCAAUGGCGAGAAUAAAUUGAAGAGAAAUCUAUUGAAAUGACGUACUUGGGUAUCUGGAUCCGUAUCAACAUGCACCAUGGGCUAAAUAUUCCUUAUUAAUGCCAAUUAAAUCAUGAGGGGGGUUUCCACACCUCAUGAACCACGCUCUAAUCAAUAUGGUGCUAAGGGCUUAUAGUGCCAAAUAAUAAUAACUUUGUACUAGGGAGCCGGUGAAACCAAGGCGGUACUAAACAAGAUUAUUAUUAUUUGUCGACGAUAAGUCAAAACAUCCACAAAAACUAAAGGGGAAGAGAAAAUAAAUUUACCAAAUAAAGCCCAUGACACAUGUUGAGACUUCACCUUCAACCCAAGCUUGAAAGAAAAUUAGCUACUCAUAAUUGAACUAGGGGCAAAAUGGAAAUUUAUUAAAAUAUGUAGAAAAUACAAGAUGGAGAAGGAAUUACAGAAAAUGGAUCCCAAAAAUGGAUUCAGAGAUAUCAAAUUAGGGGGGGGAAGCCCUUUUUUUAUAGAUACAUUGAGUAAAUCAUGGCCAUCGGAUUAAAAAUAAUUUGGACGCUCAGGAUUGCGCCACGUCAUCAGUCAACAGUAUGCGGUUUGACCACGUGGAUGAACAGUAACACGUUUGACCCGGGUGAACAGUGACGCGGUUUGGUUGAAAAUAAUCCUGUGUGAUGCAUGUACCGUACGCGAGAUUUUUCGUCCACUGAUAUGCUGCCACGUCACCAUCAACAGUACAUAAGAAUUUUAGCCCAACAGGAUCGUGACACCUCAUCAGUCAAUGCCACAUCAUCGGUCAAUGCCACGUCAUCGAUCCAUCUAUGUGAACAGUGUCAUGAACAGUAACGUAGACAGUACCGUACAUGUGAAUAGUACAUUUUUCCUUUUAUGCUCCUCCUAAGGUUUUCGACCGUCCUGAGUUCAAAAGUGAUGUCCGUUUUGCCGUCUAAUCUCUCGUUUAAUGUGAAAUGACCAUGAUGCCCCUAAAAUACAUAAAAUACUUAAUUAAAAUAAAACACACAUAAUUAAAUUACAAGAGGCUUAAAUACAUAAAAGUAAGGGUUGUUAGUAAGACUUGAAAUGUAAAAUGACGAUUUUCUCUUUUAUAAAUAUGCAUUUUCUAACACUCAACAAUCAAUCCUUUUAUGUCAUAUCUCAAUGUCAGAAUCUUUUACAGCCACAUUCACAUCUUCUUUCUUGAUCUUGGGUUCUAUAAGAUAGACAUCGUUUACUUUCCUCUCCUUAGCUAACACUAGGGAGCCUUUGGCGAGAUUCCAUUUUCCUUUACCAAAUUGGUUAGUAUAACCAUCAUCAUCAAACUUGCCUGUAGAGAUCAAAUUAAGGCGAAUAUUUGGUACAUGUCUAACAUCUUUAAGUAAUAACUUAUAGCCAAUUAUGGUCUCUAAGCAAAUAUCUUCUAUGCCCACAAUUAUGGAUGCCCCCUCAUUUCCCAUCCGAACAUGCCCAUAAUCACGAUGUGCAGUAACAUGAAAUGAAGCACUCGAAUUAAUUACCAAUCACUAGUAUGGAAAGUGAGAUUUACUGAGCUCUCAUCAUAAACAAUAUCUAAAUCACCAUCAACUAUGGCUGGAAUUUCUAAUUUAGUUCCUUCCCCGCCUUUCUUGCUUUUUUGAAACAAGUGCAUCUGACUCAGAGGGAACUGCUUCAACACUCUUUCUUUUAGAUUCUUCAUUCCGCAACUUAUCUGUAACUAUAUGCAAAGUUAAUUUUUUCAUUCAGCGCUGAAUUAUUCACUAGCAGUACUAAUAUCUCUCAAUUGUCAAGCAAAAUUUGGUAAAAAAAGAGUUGAAGAGAUUAACCCAAAAGUUGGAACAACUUACAAAGAAUUUGAUAAAUUUUAAUGAAAAGUUGGGAUCUAAAAACAAAACUUGAUAUAUUUACCCAAAUGUUGGAAUCCAAUAAAAUGAGGGGGAAUAUAAAACCAAUAAAUGGUGGGAAAAUGAGUGGAAGAGCAUAACCCAGAAGUUGGAACGACAUGAUGAGAAUUUGAUAAAUUCCAAUGAAAAAUGGAUAUUUGAAAAAUAAACCUGAAACAUUCAUGCAAAUAUUGGAAUUCAGUAAAAAGAGUAUGAAUAUCAAACCAAAAUUUGGCGGGAAUAAGAGCUGAAGAGGUUAACCCCCAGGUUACUUUUAAUGGAAAGUAACGAUCUAAAAACCGAACCUAAUAUAUUUACGCAAAAUGUUAGAAUUCGAUAAAAAGAGUAAGAAUGUAGUACCAAAAGGUGGUGGAAAAAUAAGUUGGAACAACUUACCAAAGACUAGAUAAAGUCUAAUGGAAUGUAGAGAUAUAAAAAAUAAACCUAAAUAUCCACUUAAAAAGUUGGAAUUUAAUGAAAAAAGUGAAAAUAUGGAACCAAAUGUUGGUGGAAAAAUGAGUUAAAAAUAAACACUGAAUUUUUGUCUAUAAUAUUUUAUAGUGUGGUGAUAUUUUUACCACACAAAUUCUAUAAAUCCACUGCACUUUUAAAAAUUAAUUAUAAAAGAUUCACAUUAUUUUUAAAAAUUUCAAAUAAAGAAGAAUUCUAAAGAAUUAAUCAAUUAAAUCUAUCUUAAUAUAUAUUUUUUAUAUUUUAAUUUAUUUUUUUUAUUUAGAUUUUUUUAUUACAUUUGACUAUUAAGAUUGCUUUAGUCUAAAUCGAAAUUGAUUAUUUUACCCUUAAAAAGUAAACAUACCAAAAGUUUACUUUAACAUUCUUUUUGUUUUAUACAAAAUUCAUUAUUUCCAAAUGGUCAAUUCUACUUUAUUUGUAUGAUUAUUAACUUUUAAUUAAACUAAGGUAAUAUUUUUAUGCAAAAUACUCAUGUAAAUUAUUAGACUAUCAAAUUUAUGUUAUAUACAAGUAAAAUAUUGAAAAUCAUUAGGCUGCAAUUAAAAAGUUAGAUUAUAUGUCACAAAAUUAAGUACCUAAAGUAUUACAUAGAAGAACACAUUUUUCUUAGGGUGAUUAGGUCAUUUUAUGUCAUAAAGUAAAAUAAUUAAAUAGAACUUAUAUUAAAGCAACUUUAAUAGUAAAAAUAAACCUAAGAAAGAAAAAAAUAUAAGAAUGAUUUAAUAGAUUAAUUAUAAAAAUAUUUUUUAUUUGUAUUUAUUAGAAAUAAAGUACAUUUAUUGUAAAUAAUUAUUUUAUUUCCUCUUUACAGUCAUAAAUUUUUUUCAUUAACCUUUUAUCCUUCAUUUUACUCGUUUAAUUCGUCUUUGCAUGAUUUCAAUUUCAGUAUUACUAUAUCAAAUUAGGAUACCAUUGUAAUAUAAUUUAACUUUGAUAUGCACUAUGGCCUCGCCCAACGCCUAUUCGGGAUCCAAUAUGACUAGUCUCAAACACCAAAUUAGCAAAUUAUUAUGACCAAAGGAGUGGUUACAAUAGUUUGUAAACAGGUAUGGUUACUUUAAUUACACUAUGAAAUUAGCAAUUUAUUCAAUGUUGAAUUGAUCAUAUAAAUAGAACUAGUUGGAAAUGCAAUUACUUUGGCGAUAGUUGUUUUUCCAUAUAAAUUAUAAUAGUGAAGCACUUUCUUAUCACGGGCUUCUUUUCCACUCAAAAGCCUCAUCUAGUUUCGAGCGAGCUGAUUGAAAACUUUUUUCAAAUCUCAAUGCCCACAUGUACUUUUUUCGAACAUUUUAUAUCGUUUAUGCAAUAUCACCACACACGCUACAUUGAACCAAGCCUCACUGAAUAUAUAUUCAUCGGUAUAGUAUUGAAAUUAUCAAAAGAACAUUUUUUUGAAACAAUUCAGUAAAAAAAGAUCAAAAAAUAAAUUUAAUCGUACUAAGGUUCAAUUGUUCAAUGGCCAUUUAAAUUAAUAAAUAAUAUUCAUGCCUAACACUAACUAAGAGAUUAACAGUUUUUACCUCUAGAGCAUUUUCGUUAACAUCACUUUGAUUUUCUUCAUCAAGUUUCAUAAUACCAACUCCAAGCCUCUUGCAUCCAAAUCCCACUCUACAGUCUCAUGCUCCACCUGGUCCAAUUUGUUUCUCUCCAUUUAUUUCAAUUCAACAACCAUCCACUAAAAGAAAUUAUAUUAGUCUAGGUUGUGACUUGAAAUGUAUUACUUCAAAAAUAGGAAAACAAAUUUGUUGAAUUUUAUCGUUAAAUAAUUUAGUAAUGACAGAAUUAAAUUUGAUCCUAUUUGCCUUUGCAAUGUUAUUAUAUUUAGUUGUAAUUAACAAUAUAUAUAUAUAUAUCAUGUUAAUACGUUAUAUUUAUCUUCAGUUAAAUAUAUAUAUCAAAGUACAAAUAUGAGGAACAUUUCUUAAUAAAUUUGUGACCUAAUGUUUAGUAUUUGAGACAACAAGAGACCAAUUAGACUACUUGUGACAUGGAAAAUAACACUUUUGAACAUUAAUAAGCAACAGUUGUGAUGAUAAGAGACUUAACAACAGAACUUGUGACAGGGUGUAAAUAACUUGGAACAUUAACACACAAACAGUGAGAAUUGUGAAUUCAACCGGAAUAACUGGUUACUUUACAAUCAUUAUUGCACAUGUGUAACUUCAACAUGUCAUGGCAAAAUCAACCAUACAUACACUAGAUGCAUAGUAGGCAGACCCUCAGAGAAAUGGCCAACAAUUAUUUAUCCUGUGGCAAAACCGAAAUUACAUGUGAUGUAACUUACAACUAUUUACAUAAACAGUAUUUACCCGGGGUGAUCCUUAUCCUAUUUGUUUUGUUUUGUUUUGUUCACAUAACAAUCCGUCAGGUCAAUUGGGAUCCACUGAGAAAAGUCUAAGAAGGUUUUCGACGCAUAACGCUUAAGAGAAUCACGUGAUGUAGUGAAAGUCACAUUGGGACCCACUUGCGUAGAAAAUAGUCCCUCAUCACAUCCAUGUGGAGCCUACGUACAAAGUUAGUAUUAUAGAUGAAGAAAUCCCUAAAUAAGUUCUAUCACUUAUUUUAUUUGGUAUAAUUUUGUAAUUUAGAUAACUUACAUCAUUAUUCGAGGAAUCAAAGUCCUAAAAUAAAAGAAGAAGACACUUAUAAUCAAUCUUUUCAGUAGGUGUGGUAGAAAAAAUAAAUGCAUUAUGAUAUUAUGGAUGAAAUGAUUAAUGCAUGCGUUUACGGUCCACAUUUUGCGAUUAUCCAAAAAGAUGAACAAGGAAAUGUACAAAACACAGAAUUGAAUUGACAAAAGGAGAUAAUAGCAAUAAGAAACUCGUGAUUCAAUCUUUGCCACGAAGUUUGUCGGUGCCUAUCCAAUGUCGGCAAAAUAAUCAAUCAUCUAACCUUUGGAGUUUUUCCAAAAAUUAAGUUUUUAUUUAUUUAUUUUAUUACUUAAUCUAACACUAAUCUAACUCGCUCCACGCUACAGGAUUUAAACUCUAAAUCUCUUAUGACGUAGGACAUUAUUUUAGAAUUAUAAGAUUUUUAUUAUUUAAAUUUUUUUUUAAUUAGAGUUAACUAUGUAUUUAGUUUUUUAUUUUUAUUAUAAUUAUAAUUUACUUUCUUUUUUAGUUAACUUAGAAACAUAAGUUUACUUUAUUAUAAAUAAAUAAAAAUUUAUUGUAAUUUUAACCUUUGAUCAAUUAAUAAAAUUCCUCUUUAUAAUUUUCUUUAGAAUUAUCUGUCAAAAAUCUCUCUUGUAAUGAUGGAACUUGGUAUCCCGUGAAGUCGCACAAUUUGAGCCAUAAAAACCUUGGCCACUGUCAUAGCUGUAUAUGGAUGUUUCAAAGCGACGAAGUGUGCAUAUUUUGACAUAGGAUCCACGACAACCAUGAUGACAGUGUAUCCUUGUGAUGUUGGAAGCCCAUCUAUGAAAUCCAUAAAAAUUGAGGUCCUGAUUCUGUCUGGAAUCUGUAAAGGUUGAAGAAGUCCUACUGGUUGGAGAUUCUCUACCUUACAUCACUGACAAACUUCACAGUGCCUUAUGAAUUUCUUGAUCUUUGCACGCAUUCUAGGCUAAUAAAAACUAGAUUUAAGUCGGUUGAGAGUUUUUUGAUAGCCAAAAUGUCCUCGAAUUGGUGAGGAAUGUGCUUCCUUUAAAAUAGCUUGUAAAAAUGAUGAAGCGGGACUCAAAUAAAGCUUUCCAUGUUUGUACCAAACUCCAUCUCAUUGAAUAAGUGGCUGAGUUGAAUUAGACAACUGACUAUAAAAGGAUCGUGUGCUACCUCAUUCUGUAGAGUUGCCCACUAAUCAGCUAAAGGAAGAGAGAUUGAUGAAAAUUCAAGCUCUACUAAUCGUGAUAAAGCGUCGGCACCUCGAUUUUUUGAUAUUUUUUUUGCAUUGAAUUGUAUAAUCAUAGCCAAGAAUUUUUGGCAACCAUCAUGUCUGAGCCAUGGUUGUAAUGCGUUGUUCCAUUAAAAAUUUUAGGCUCUUUUGGUCUGUACGAACAAUGAAAGGUUUACCCAACAAAUAGGGACGCCAUUUGCAAAUUGCCUUGACGAUUGCAAGCAUCUCUUUCUCGCACGUGGACAAGACCAACAUAGAACCCUGGAGUGCCUCACUAAAAAAUGCUACUGGCUUGUCAUUUUGUGAUGAUAUAGCUCCAAUAUCGACUCCACAAGCAUCACGCUCGACAACAAAUGGCUGUGAAAAGUCCUGCAAUCGAAGAACAUGAGGAGAUGUUAAUGCGUGCUUCAACUGAGUGAAGGCAGAUUCUGCUUCUGAGGUCCAAUGAAAGCCUUCCUUUGUUAAUAGCCUAGUUAAAGGUGUUGCAAUUCCCCCAAAGCCUCGAAUGAACUUGCGGUAAUAACUCGCUAAUCUAAGAAAGCCCCUUACUUCUUUAGUCGAUGAUGGAAUUGGCCACUCAAGUACGGUUUGAAUUUUCUUUGGAUCAACAGCCACUCCUACAAGGGAAAUAAGAUGACCCAAAUACUCUACCUGCAAAACUCCAAAACAACACUUUGAUUUUUUUAAAACAGAGAGUUAUCAGAUAAAAUCUGCAAAACUGUUUUAAGAUGGAAAAUAUGAUUUGCCCAAGUUUUGUUGUACACCAAAAUAUCAUUAAAAAAACUAAGAAUUGAGACAAUCAAUCAUUUAAUUUAUUAUUUUGUUUCUAUUGAUUUUUUUUAUUCUUAUUAUGCCGAAUAUAUUAGCUCUAAAAUCUAUUAUCACCAUACAAUGUUUUAAAAAAUAUCUAUUGUAAUAAAAAAAUAUCUAUUGUAAUAAGGAUUCUUAGAAUUUCAUAGAUUUUCAAAGAUUGAGUUAAUCAUUUUUAAUGUUGAUGUUGCCAUAGAUUGUUGUUAUAGAUAUAUGAACAAAAGAUGAGUAAAUGUAUGUAUGUGAGUGUACUGUGUGUGUGUAUUCUUAAGUACGGGCGUCCUUUUUUUUUUCUUAAAGCGGAUACGUUAUUAGGUCAUAUGAUUUAAUAGAGUUAGUAUUCAAUUCAGAAUAAUGUGUCCGUAUGAAAAAAAAAAUGAGAGCUCCCGCAUGAGAGAAUGACUAUACAUAUAUAUAUAUAUAUAUAUGUCAUUUUGUUUCAGCGAAAAUCCAAUACAUGAAUGAAAACAAAAAAGAAUAUUUUCCUAAAUACUUUUUUCUGCUAGAAAUUAUUGCAGGUAUUAAUUGAUUUAACAAUUAGAUCAUUGGAGUUAUUGUAUUAUUAAUUUAGGAUUUAUCACUACUAGAAAAAUAGUCUUUACUGACUUUAGAAUAGUGUCAGAAAUUAUUUUCACUGACACUUGUUAAUUGUGUCAGUAAUCUGGGAGUCAGAAAAAUAGUGACAUUUAUAAGUGGUGUCAGUGAUUACUAUUACUACAGUAUCACCGAUAUUAUGACACCAUAGUGUUAGUAUAUAUUAACACCAUUAGUCUAUUCUACACCAUUAUGACACAAAAUAAAAAAAAAAGAAAUUGAUUUAUAUCACAAAAUCUUUCAUUUCACAUUUAAAUAUUAUUAGUAUAUAUUACAAAUUCCAAAACUUCAAUAACAAAAAUAUGAGAUAUCCUACUCUCAUAACUAAAUAAUCCAAAUUCAAUACAUAAAAAUUUCUACCAUCCAAUCAAAUGCCUACUACUUGUGGCUAAAUUUAAUAAAUCUAGAAGCUAAAUUGAGAAUGAUGAUUGCCUUUCACUCUUUGAAUAUGAGUAGUAUAAUUGCGUUAUCACACCAGCAGCUUCUCCAUUCAAUAGACUGUAUGGGUUAGGAUAUAAGUGAAGUUGAGGAAUAAACACUUCAAACACAUUGAUCAAGUCUGCAUAUGAAUACAUGGAAAAGAAAAAAAAAAUUAGCUGCCAAUAUUCAGCCAUUAGAGAAACAAUAAUUAACAGAAUAAAAUUAUUUUGUUCCAAAGAAAAAAAAUACUCAUAAGCUAUUUAUAAAUAAACUCAAUUAUUCUCUUUUGGUAAAGGUUAUAUCUAUAGCAAACUAUAGCAGACAAGAAGUUUUCAAUGUAAUAUCUACUUUCAGCACAAGCUUGUUACUCUAUCUACAUAUACCAAAUGAUUUUUGUGCAUAGUUAAAAGCUAUCACAAAUGUUCUAUUAUAAAUAAAUCAUUCCAAAAUCAUUACUUAUAAACAAGUCUUAUGAUUUUGGCCAUGAAUCUUAUAAAAUUUAAGAUACUUAAUACAUUGGAAUGAUAUUUUCCUAUUUUUAACAACACAUAUGAAUGAACAAUGUAUUAAAAUUUGAGGUUAUUCUGAUAUUAUUAUGUUGAUGUUUUGUAAGAUCAAAAGUUAAUAAAUAAUUAUGUCAAAAGAACUUGCUGCAGAGCAGCAGAGUUUAAAAAAUCAUUAAAAAUAACCUGCAAGUUCAAUCAACAUAAAAAUUUUCAGAUUUGAAGUAUGCAUAUAGAACUUUAGUUUCUCCGAAUUUCAGCUCAUUCAGAUAUGUUUAGACUAUCGUUUUGCACCACCAAACAUGAUACAUGAGUAAUUUAUGAAAGAUUGGACAGCAACCAACCAUUUUACAAAAUCGAUUAAAAAUCAGUUAUAGACCCAAUUCAUUCCAAAAUUUCCAGAACUGAAACAUACACAUUUAACUUUAAUUAUUUCAAACAUAUGGUAAACACAAUAUUUCCCAAAGUAGAUAUAAUGAAGGUUAUUUGGUGCCAAUAAAAGAAAAGAAAGUAGCAGAGAAAAAAACACAAUAAAAGCUAAAUCUUUACCUUCUUGUUUCUUCCAAGUAGCCAAAGAAACAAUACCUUCUAGUUUCUUCCAAGUAGCCAAAGAAACAUAGAAGCUCUUCUCCAAAUCACUUAUUUAAACCUAAAAGAACAAUUAAAACAAAAAAAAAAACUCAAGAUCUAAUGACAAUAAAAGAGACCCGAAAUCAUAAAAUAAGAAAAGAAAUAAGAAGUGUGGAUUUUGAAGGCAAAUGGUGAACUUGUGCCAUCGGUUUGACAGGAUCAUGGCUGAGCACUUUUUGACAAUUUUUUUUUUUUAACCCAAAAAUGCCAAGCUGAUGUUUUCUCAUAUUAAUCAAUACAUUAAUAGAAUCAAAUUGAAGUUGUAAGAACUAAAAACCAGAAUGGGGAACACAAGAGAGAAAUUCUAUGCUGCAUUCUCCUUCUUGAGUUUUGCAAGCUCAUGUCGAAUAAGUCCACCCUUCUUGAUCUUUGCCAACAUGAGCUUGAACCUAUCAAAAUCAUUCAGUGCCGCUCUCCUUUUCUGGACAAUCAGCUUCUUGCCCCAAGAGUUGUUUUCCCAUUUGUUCUUCACAUCAGCCUUCUCCAUGGCUUCAAUCAAAGACUUCUUCCUAGGAACUCGAUUGAUGUCAAUCUUAAUAUCCGUGAGAGAAAGCCUCUUGAAGUUCAUUUGGCUCCUCACCCUAUCAGGGGCAUCAACAAGAGCCUAUAAAGCAUCACAAAAAUAAUAACAAUUGUAUACAACUAAAAAAUAAACGAAACAGUUCAAAAUUCAAAGAAAUCCAAGCUAAAAUCACUCUGUUUACAAAAGCACAUCAACUUUCUAAUUUUCUAUUUUUGUACAGAAAAAAAAGAAGGGGUACCAGCUAUCAUCAACUAAACCAAAAUAUUCAGAAUUCUUGUGACAAUUUUAUAAGAUUCAACUCAAAUAAAGCAUAAGCGUAAAGUGAAUAAAGGUACCCUGUUUUGAUCAAGGACAUCGACGAUGACCACAAGCUUCCCAUAGUCCUUGCCGUAAUUAACGAGAGCAACUCUUCCUAUCUCCACGUAUAAACUUUCAAUUAUCAACUACUUGUUGAAAAAAAAAAACUAUGAGAGAUUCAAGUCAAUUAAUCACUGUGUUGGUUAAUAUAAUAUUGUAAAUAUUCUGAGCAAACACAAUUAUUUAUUUCUAAAAUUGGAACAUCAUUCCGGGCAAAUGGAUGAACAAGCAAAGUUAGUUGGAUUCUCCAUUGUCUAGACACAAGAAACCAACCAAGAAAACAAGAACAAUAGUCAAGGUUCACUUAUAUAUAAAAUAACUAUUGAACGAUACUUUUGAGCCUACGUAUACUGCUACACUUCUAUUAGCCGACAUGGCUGGCCUAUUACUUCCAGUCAUGCAUAGCAGCCUCAUGACUUUGCUGCUCAGGUUGCAGUUGGCCACGCUGAGGCUGCUCCUGCAUCUUCGUUCUGCUGCUGAUGCUGCAUCUGGAACAUCUGAUGAUUAAUGGAAAGCUGCUGAGCCAUGCUGCUUGAAAGUUGGGCCUCUCCAUUGACCUCUGCAGUAGUGAGCUUCAGUCUCUGUACUUCUGCAGCUAAUGCCUCGUUUAAAGCUGCCAAAUCAAGCACAAAGUAGGAUGCAUAACUAACAGAAAACCCCUUUUUAUGACAGCGUGAUCCUAAAAUAGUUUAUUAAUCCAUAAGUAAAAACUAAGAAAAUCCAUUAACUUGCAUUGGAAGAUGGAGAUAAAUCUAACACGAGUCAAGAUGCCCUUAAUUGCAUAAAUAGAGGACAAGUAACAAACCGAACUAGUGCAAUGAUCAACACUGGUCUCACUGCCCCCAAUCAAAAGCACAAGGACAAAGUAUCAAUCCUGAGGUGUUAAUCAUAUCUAAUAUGCCCGACCAACUCAUUCAAGAGAGCUAAGGAGCAAUGAACCGUACUGGAGAAGAGUUCUCAUAAGAAAACAAAGAAAAUGCUGCUAUUCAGAAGCGCUAGUCGUUAAAUCAAUCAAAAUAAUGAUGAAUAGUAUAACAAGCCAUCAAUCAAUCUAUCUAAGAGAUUAAAUGAGAGAAAACUACCUCAGUCUGUUUCACAAGCCAUGUAAUCAAAUGCUAAGGGCAAUAUCAUAACAAAAGGUGAAACACAAAGAAAAAGUUUUGCACUUAUGGCGUAGGUCAACAGAUAUAAAUCACAAUAACAAAAGAGCUUACACCUUGUGCAUAUAAAUAAGAUAGGUCUGAGUUCACAGAUGAAGUAGAAGAAGGUAAUAAAAAAGAAUAAACGAAUUUAUACCAUCUUUGAGUUGAGCAUGUUGCUCUAUGGCCUGAAGUCGGAAUUUCAACUCAUUGUUCUCACUUGUAAGCCCCGCAGAAUCUCUCUGAAGAAGAACAACUAGUGGUUACCAUUUUCGAAGAUAUUCAAGGCUCUGCCGGAGGAGCGAGGAGAUGAAUGAAUGAGGCAAGAGGCCACUUUUUGACAAUUUGGAUGUUAGGGAUUUUUCCGAUCUGGGGAGCUUAGGAGGGCACAAAUACUUUGGUAGAGGGAGUUGAAAAGUUAUAUUUUGGAUAAGAUCCAUUUGUUUUGUUUUUAUCCACUCAAAAACCACAACUCUAAAAAAAUUAAAAAUAAUUCGUAGCCUAGUGGUCUUUUGAUUCAAUGUAAAAGCUUUAGGUUUAAGAGGUCUUGGGUUCGAAUUCGAACUAAAACAAAAUUAAAAUGAUAAUUUUUAAUUGUUGAUACCAAAGCGUCAUUGAUCGCUAUUACUAAAGCUAUUGAUACUUUAGUAUUAGUAAUUAGUGAUACAUAUCUGUUAAACACGGAAACUGAUCCAAAUAUAUGUAUAUACUGAUACUUUUAAAUAAAGUGUCAGAAGACAAGUAUCAGUAAAGACUAUUUUUCUAGUAGUGUAUCUUUUUAACUACAAGCUUUUUUUAGAAGUAUAUAUAUAUAGUACUAAUCUAGUCCAAGAUCCUAAACUUUGUUAAAAUUCAUGAAAGCUAUUAAGCUAUACGGUUUAAUAAUAUAAUAAUAUUCUUGUAAUACACGCGCGCGCACACACACACACAUAUAUAGUGCUGAUUUAGUCUAAGAUUUUGGAUUUUGUUAAAAUAUGGGAAACCUAUUAAGCCACACAUUUUAAUAUUUUUCCCAAACUUUAACAGAUCCAAGAUCUUAUAUUGAAAUAAUCCUAGUACACACACGUAUAUAAUUACUAUUUAGUCUAUGUAUGUUGUUUGAGGGAAAUACUUCGACGAGACCAGACGUGAUGAGCAGAUAUUUGGUGGCAGAGUUCUGCGAACAGGUAUGUCCUGUAAGAGCCUGGUAGCAGGGGAACAGGAGCAGGAAUAUUCUGCUCGUCCAUGAAUAUGCCAUUCACGAGGACGAACUCCUGUUAGAGGCAUAAGGGCAUUCCUGCUAGGGGUCAAGGCGAGGAGACCCGGUCAACGACAGUUGGCAAGACGUGCGUUCCUAUCCGAGAAUCAAGGCACGGAGUCCAUCUCCAUUCGCCCACAAUGACGACAAUGGGGCAUCCACAUCCGAGGGUGGGGAGAAUAAUGGGCGUGGACUACGGAAGUCCGGGAUUCAGAGGAAGCCUAUAAAAAGGUAGCCAGCGAAGGUAAAAGGGUUAGACUUUUUGCUAUUAGAACUGAGAAAAGAGAACUUUAAGAACUGAGAUUAAAAAGAAGCCAUAAGAUUCGUGGCAAACAUUCCCAGAGCCUUCAUUUCUGACUUGAGCGUCGGAGGGUUUGCGCCGGGGAAACAACCGGCGUACUCUGACCUGUCUGUGUACGCAGGAACCUCGGGAAAAGAAGCUUUACGAGGAGAGAUCCUGAUCGUGGUGAAGUUGAUCGAGUAGAGACCCUGAUCGUAGAACGAGGACAACCAGAAUCUCGUAUCAACAAUUUGGCGCCGUCUGUGGGGAGCUGAGCAAAAAGCUUCUGUUGAUAGCAAGAAGAGAAGUGAAGCAAGUGAAAAGCAAUGGAGACAGGAGGAAGUAGUGCACAAGGGGGUGAUAUGAGGCUUAAUGAUUCCGUGACGCUGAGGGAGAUAGCCAGUGAAGCGCGGGAAAAAGUCAUGUUCGACCGGAUGGAACGGAUGGAAAAGCAGAUGAAGACCCUGACAACCAUCCUGCAUGAGUUGCGGAGUGAACGAAGAGUAACCCAUGAGGAAAGGGUGAGAGGUGGUGGAGUGGCACCAGGUCCCGAUAGUACGAGGAGAAGUCAAACCACCAGGAGAUUUGGUGGUGAGAGAGGUAACAUACCUCUGCGGGGAGAAUUUCAUAGAGAGGAAGAGCCAUCCCCGGCAAGACAGAUUUUUGACGAGGACGACGGGGUGGCGAAUGCAGAGGAAACAGAGUUGAGAAAACACUUGCGUGAUGUAGAGCAAGAGCGGGAUCAAGUUGCAGCAUGUGACCCUAGUCAUGCAGUGCAGCUGGAGGAGGAAGUGCGCAGGCUAGCGCAGAUAAUUGAUGACAUGCAAGGAAGGAGCAGAGCUCCUGGUUGGAGGAUAAUGCUGGACGGAGAAUCACCGCUCGCAGUAGAGAUCAUGAGGGCAGUUAUUCCGAGAGAUUUCUGCCUCCCAGACCUUAGAUAUUCGGGACGAACUGAUCCGCUGGUGCACAUAGAGCGCUUCAACGUCAUAACUGGGGUACAAAGAUUAUCUCAAUCCCAAAGGUGCAGGGUGUUCCCACUAUCCCUUGAAGGACGUGCACGAGAGUGGUACAGGAAACUUCCUUGGGGGAGCAUUAAAACCUUCGAGCAGAUGUGCCAGGAAUUUACAGAACAGUUUCGUGAGGCAAUGGCACCAGAAGAUGACAUGAUGGAGUUGAAAAACAUGAAGCAGGGGGAACAAGAAACACUUCGGGAAUUCAUCAAGAGGUUUCACCGUGCUGUCCUUGAUUUGGGAGCCUUCAACCAUCCUCAGGCAUUAAGGGGACUGAAAGAAGGGGUGAAGAUAGGAAAACUGUGGUACAAUUUGAGAAGCCCAGUUAUUCAGACGUACGCAGCCGCAUACGAGCAGGCUAAGAGGGACAUUAAGAUUGAAGAGGAAAAGGCAGCACGGAUCAAGACAGACCAGUUAGAAUGGUUGAGGAAGAAAGAGAAGAAAGCAUUGCCAGGGAAUGGGCCGAUCAGGAGGAGGGACCAUCAGGCCUCAGGUAGUGGAGCAGGAGGUCGAGUAACUACUUACUAGCCUCAUCAGAGGCCACCACAGUAUCAGCGCAGCAGGGCACAACCUCCUCGUUCCCCAGCUAGGGAGCCUUGGAGAAGGCAUGACUCGGCAUAUGGUGGUCUUCAUUAACACUCCCACGGUAGUAGAGGGGGCAGACCAGAAGUGCUGCCACCGCCUCCAACUCAGAACGGAGCAAAUAGAGAAAGGGCAGUGCACCUGAUCGACCAGAACCAGGACUAUGGGCGGUAUACUUCCUUGAAGAUGUCCCUGGACGAGGUGUACGAGGCCAUAAAGGAUCGAGGGUUGCUAUACCUCCCUGCCCCAAUAACAAAGCUACCCAGCAGGAGGGAUAGGGGACGCUAUUGUAAGUUCCAUGGCACUCAUGGCCACACCACAGUAGAUUGCAGGGAUCUCAAGACCCAGGUUGAAGAUUUGGUGAGAAAUCGGUAUCUGGAUGAGUUUAUAGAUGGGACCUUCCCAAUGGUAGCCUCGACAAGCGAAUGGGAGCAGAAUGACAGGAACUUGAGGCGCGAGCAGCCUGCAGUAAGGGUGAUAGUUGGGGGCCCGACAUUGGCCGGAGAUUCCAACAGGUCGAGGAAGAAUUAUGCUAGAUACGCCAUGACCAGCAAAGAUGUAUUCUUCAACACCCCAGCAGCCAAACGUGCAAGAGUCAGACAAGUGCCAAUCAUGUGGACAGAUGAGGAUGAAGAAGGGAUUUUAUACCCCCACGAGGAUGCUUUGGUCAUCAAGGCCACUGUUGCCAGCAAGAAGUUUGACAGGAUACUGGUUGACACAGGGAGCUCAGUUGAUGUGUUGUUUAAGUCAACCCUGGAGGAGAUGGGAAUAGCAGACCUGAAGUUGGAUUACACUAAUACCUCCUUGAAGGGGUUUGGAGGAGGAAAGUUGGUCCCUCUGGGCGUGGUCGAGCUGCCUAUCACGAUUGGGAGCUCCCCGACAGAAAGGACAAUGAUACUGGACUUUAUGGUAGUGGAUGAGGAAAGUCCUUACCAGAUGAUCCUAGGCCGGCCAUUUUUGAGGAUGAGCAAAGCGGUGCUGUCCAACCAUUAUCUGGCUCUCAAGUACCGGAUGAAUGGGGUAGUUGGAGUGGUACGAGGAGACCAGAGGAUCGCAAGAAGCUGCUACUCCUCGGCAGCAAGGGAAGCAAUGCAGAUAACAUCACUUGAUACCCGAGUGGAAAACAAGAAUGACAGAUAAGAACCUGUAGAGGAUAUGGAGACAGUAAGCCUGAGACCAAAGAAUCCGGGAAAGACGAUCAGAAUCGGGUCGAAACUUAAGGAAGAGCAAAAGCAGGAGUUGGUGAAAUGCUUACAGGCUCAUGUAGAUGUGUUUGCUUGGACACAUGAAGACAUGCCAGGGAUUGAUCCUGAGGUAGCAUGUCAUAAGCUGGCAAUAAAGAAAGGUGCUCGGGCAGUAAGGCAGAAGAGAAGGUGCUUCAACCAGGAGAGGUAUGAGGCUAUAAAUGGCGAGGUGGAAAAGCUAUUGAGAGCAUGAUUCAUUCGGAAAGUCAAUUAUCCCAAGUGGAUAUCGAAUGUGGUGUUGGUAAAGAAGGCGAAUGGCAAGUGGAGGAUGUGUGUGGAUUUUACAGAUCUCAAUAAAGCAUGCCCGAAAGACAGCUUCCCUUUGCCAAAAAUCGACCAGCUAGUAGAUUCAACAGCUGGGCACGGUCUGCUUAGCUUCAUGGACGCGUUCUCAGGAUAUAACCAAAUCCCCAUGUACGAGCAGGAUGAGGAGAGCACUGCUUUUAUCACUAACCAGGGUUUAUUCUGUUACAGGGUAAUGCCAUUUGGUCUCAAAAAUACUGGGGCCACCUAUCAGAGGCUGGUGAAUAAGGUCUUUAAGCCGUUGAUCGGGAAAACCAUGGAGGUGUACGUGGAUGACAUGAUCACCAAGUCCAAAAUCCCGAAGGAACAUGUCGGACACCUCGAGGAGACAUUCGGGCUUUUGAGGAAGUAUAAAAUGAAGCUCAACCCGGAGAAGUGUGCUUUUGGGGUCGAGUUAGGGAAAUUUCUUGGAUUCAUGGUGAACCAUAGGGGAAUUGAAGCAAAUCCUGAGAAGGUCCAGGCGAUCGUGCAGAUGAGCUCUCCUCGUAGCCUGAAGGAGAUGCAGAGCCUCACGGGGAGGUUGGCGGCAUUGAGCAGAUUCAUAUCCAAGGCUACAGAUAAGUGUCAGCCGUUCUUUCAAGUGAUAAGGAGGGGAAAGAAAACAGAAUGGACUCCAGAAUGUGAGGAAGCCUUCCAGAACUUGAAGCAAUACUUGCAGCAAGCACCUCUGCUGUCCACACCUAGGGAUGUGGACAAGUUAUUUCUGUAUUUGGCGGUAUCAGAUUGGGCCACAAGUGUGUUCUGGUGAGAGAGGAAGAAGGGGUUCAAUAUCCGAUAUACUACACCAGCAAGGCCCUACUCGACGCUGAGACCAGAUACCCACCGUUGGAAAAAUGGGCACUUGCCCUUGUGGUUGCUGCUCGGAAUCUGAGGCCAUACUUCCAAGCAUUCCCAGUCUCGGUAAUAAUAAACCAGCCAUUGCGUCAAACUCUGCACAAGCCAGACACCUCUGGUCGGCUCGUCAAGUGGGCUGUAGAGCUGAGCGAGUUCGACAUAGACUACAAACCCCGAGCAGCGAUAAAGGCUCAGGCAAUGGCCGAUUUCGUAGUAGAAUUCACAGAGCCUGAAGUAUGUUUGGACCAACGAGAGGUAGCUACAGAUAGUGGCGAAGCCCAAGUAUGGCAAAUGUCUGUAGAUGAGUCAUCAGGGGAGCAGGGAUCAGGAGCAGGGAUUGUCUUAGAAGGACCGGAGGGGGAGCAGAUCUCUUAUGCUGUAAAGUUAUAAUUUGCAGCCACAAAUAACCAGGCAGAGUAUGAAGCCUUGAUAGCAGGUUUGGAAUUGGCUAAGGCCGUGAAAGCAGACAGAGUGAAGAUCAGAACUGAUUCUCAGCUGGUUGCAAAUCAUGUUAGUGAAAGAUUUCAACCAAGAGAGGAAAAGAUGGAGCAGUACCUGAAGAUAGUCAGACAGAUGAUGGGGAAAUUUGAAGCAGUGGAGGUGGUACAAAUCCCCAGGGAGCAGAAUAGUCGAGCAGAUAUUUUGGCCAGGAUGGUAGCGGUAGCAGACCCAAAAAUGCCAAAGUCGAUCCCUCUGGAGGUGAAGUCCAACCCGAGCAUCGAACAGAAUUUGGGGGUGCUACGGAUAGAACAAAAAUGCUCGUGGAUGGACCCAAUAAUUUCGUACCUUAGAGACGGGGUAUUACCACCAGAUAAGCUGCGAGCUUGGAAGGUUAGAGCCCAGGCCUCGAGAUAUACGAUGAUUGAUGGGGUACUGUAUCGGCGAGGAUAUACACUACCUUUCCUUCGAUGUUUGGAUGAGGACGACGUGGAUUACGUACUGAGAGAAGUACAUGAAGGGAUUUGCGGAAAUCAUUCUGGUGGGAGGUCCCUGGCCCACAAGGUUCUAAGACAGGGAUAUUUUUGGCCGACAAUGCACCAGGAUGCGCAAGGAAAGACUAGGAGCUGUGUAAGCUGCCAGAGUUUUGCAAGUUUCUCCAACCAACCACCAGAGAAGCUCACCUCCAUGGCCUCCCCUUGGCCAUUUGCUCAAUGGGGAAUUGAUCUGAUCGGCCCGUUGCCAAAGGGACGAGGAGCAGCAACGCAUGCAAUAGUUGCUAUAGACUACUUCACGAAGUGGAUAGAGGUAGAAGCCCUUAGCAAGAUCACGAGAAGAAAACAACAGACUUUGUGUGGAGAAACCUAGUCUGUCGAUACGGGAUCCCUUAUGCCUUGAUAACGGAUAAUAGUAGGCAGUUCGAUAAUCACAGCUUCAGGGAUUUCUGCCAGAACCUCAGGAUAGAGUUGAAGUAUUGCUCGCCUGCUCACCCUCAAUCUAACGGACAAGUAGAAACAGCCAACAAGACGAUCAAGAGGCUUUUGAAAACCAGGUUUGGAGCAAAAAAUGGUACUUGGGUUGAUGAGCUAUCAGGCGUACUAUGGGCAUACAGGACAACCCAUAAGACAGCAACGGGGGAGACACCGUUCGUCUUGGCUUUCGGACAUGAAGCGGUCAUACCAGCUGAGAUAGGAACGACCACACACCGAACAGAUCAUUUCAACGAGCAGGACAACGACGAGCAGAUGUGUUUGAAUUUGGACUUGCUAACGGAAAAAAGGGAGCAAGCAGCCGAGCGAUCAGUCAUUUACCAGCAGAGGGUUGCCCGGUAUUAUAACCAGAAGGUGAAUGUACGGCAGUUCAAGGUCGGAGAUUGGGUGUUAAGGAGAGUGAAUCAGAACACCAAAGACUCAACUCAAGGAGUGCUCGGACCGAAUUGGGAGGGCCAUACAGGGUCAAGCAGCUAUUUGGACCAGGAGCUUACAAGUUGGUUCGCAUGGAUGGCCACGGGGUGAAGCGCCCAUGGAACGUAGCACAUCUCAGGAAAUAUUUCCAGUAAGAGUCGUUCAUAUUUUCAAGUUCUUUCUGUUCGUGUUCGUUAUUAUUUACUUUAUGUCAAAGCGAUCUCAUGUAAGCCGAAUUCAACAAUAAAGGGAUCAAUGAGGAAUUUCAGUCAGCUAUACUGUCAUCGAAAAAUUUAUAAGGCAUGUAAAGGCUCAUCAAGUCUCAAAGCCUGUUUUAUGGCGAGACAGAAGCCAAGCGUGCCAGGAUCUGCUCGACCAAGCGAAGGCGAGCAGAAUCCCCAAUCAUCGAAGUAUUUUCUAAGGCAUGCAAAAGGCUCACCAAGUCUCAAAGCCUGUUUUAUGGCGAGACAGAAGCCAAGCGUGCCAAGGUCUGCUCGACCGCGCGAAGGCGAGUAGAACCCCCAAACAUCGAAGUAUUUUCUAAGGCAUGCAAAGGCUCAUCAAGUCUCAAAGCCUGUUUUAUGGCGAGACAGAAGCCAAGCGUGCCAGGAUCUGCUCGACCACGCGAAGGCGAGCAGAAUCCCCAAACAUCGAAAUAUUUUCUAAGGCAUGCAAAGGCUCAUCAAGUCUCAAAGCCUGUUUUAUGGCGAGACAGAAGCCAAGCGUGCCAGGAUCUGCUCGACCACGCGAAGGCGAGCAGAGUCCCCAAUCAUCGAAGUAUUUUCUAAGGCAUGCAAAAGGCUCACCAAGUCUCAAAGCCUGUCUAUGGCGAGAUCGGAAGCCAAGCAUGCCAGGAUUUGCUCGAUCAAGCAAAGGCGAGCAGAAUCCCAAGUCAUGCAGAAAGACCAUAUUCUAAGCCAGAGCCUGCUCGACCAAGCGAAGGCGAGCAGACCUUCAAAUGGAAAAAUAACUUGUAAAUACAAACGCAAGAAAGUAAUCAAAAACAGUUUUUAUUAAUUUAUCAAUAACCAACGAAGUUGUUCAUUACAACGCAAGAAAUAUGUUCAAGAAGAUGGCGGAUCAGUAAGCCGAGCAGCAUCGGUUGGCUGGACCUCCUCAGGCGCAGGGGGUAUCACCAGUUGCGUCCGGGGGGUGCUCGCCUCGCCAACGUCAGCAGGGAUUGCACGAGGAGGAGAGUUUUCCUCCUCAAUCACAAUCGGCUCUACCCCUUCGGCAUCUUCCUUGGCCGCCUCCUCGUCCAUAUGUUGAGCAACACCAGCUGCAAGGUCAUCCAUCUUCAUAUCAGGAUGCUGCUUCCCGAGGACGGCCAUGAUGUAACGAUAGGAAUGCCGAAGUCCCUGGUCGUACUGGUUGUCGGCCUCCUUCUCCAAAUUCUCGACCUGAACUCGGUGGGAAUCGCGGAGAGAUUCGAGCUGAGCCUCAUACAUGGCCUUCUGCCUUUGAAGAUCCUCCUUGACCCUGGUCAGCUCCUCCUCGAGGGUAAUGGCUUUUGCUUGAGCAAUAGAUUCUUGCUCUAUCAGCUUCAGGUUCUCGACAUUCAGCUCUCCUGCUUUCUUCUCGGCGUCGUCAGCUCUAGUCAUCGCCGACUGAAUGUCCUCCUUCAUCUUCCUGUCAUAACGGCCAACCUUGGCCUUAUAGUAGGUGGUCAUGCAGCUGAGAUGGAAAGCGCUAUACUGCAUGGCUCCCACCAGCUCGCCCAGGGUGCAGCCAUCAAAGUCCUCCAGGUCCUUCUUGCUCACGAGUUUAGAUAACUCAUUGAGAUAGGGGACCAAGUGUUCUGCUCGGCUGUCAGGUAAGCGAGAUCGAGGCCCGACAGGAGGAGAAGAGGAAGCAUGAUAUGUGGCUGCUCCACUAGUUUCCCCGACUUUGGCAGGAGCAGAAGGUAAAGUCUUCAAGGGAGAGACUUGCUGCACGAUGUUGGCCCGCUUUGCAGUAGGGGCGUCCUUGUUCUGGUCCCUCUUCGUGGUUUGAGGUCGAGAACGUUUCCUGUUCAGAGCCCCAAUCAUAGCGUCCUCCAUCUUAUGGCCAGGGAGUACCAAGCGAGACUCGAGCAAGUUGUAAAUAGUUAUCAGUUCUCGGCUCGGGCAGGAGUUGGCUAGUACAGCCUCGACCCGUUUGAGUUAAUCAGGUUUGAGCGGGAAAUGAACACCCCAAGAAACUACAACACAAACAGACACUUGGUUAGAGACAAACCAAUAAAGCAAGAACAAUUAUGGAUACAAGACAUCUAAAGCGAGCAGGCAACCUGGGACCGUGAAACGGGGUGGGACGCGACAAUCUUUCCCAUCUAUUUGUGCAAUUUGACCCCAAGGACCCCCAGCAAAAAAGAAUUUCCUCUUCCAAGUCCCACCACUACCAGUUGGAAGAUCAGUUAUGGGUUUCCUGCUCUUGGUACUAGAUUGGAAGUAGUACCAGCCGGCAUCUUAGGGCUGCUCUUCAGUUGGUACAGGUGCUUCACCUCAUCAACCGUGGGCUCGCUUUGGCAACAUCUGUCCCACAAUAUGAACAGACUAGAGAGCACUCUCCACCCAUUGGGGUUCAGCUGACCAGGAGCCAGAUUUAGCCCGUUAAGUAUCCGCGCAAAGUAAGGUUGCAAGGGACACCUCAGCCCAUACUUAAAGCUCUCCAGAAACAGGGUAACAUAUCCCCUAGGAGGCCGGCUAGGUGUAUCCUUCUUUCCUGGGAUCUUAAGAGGUAUCUCACCAGGAAUACUAUACUUAAGUCGGAGGUCAUUGAGCUCAUCAAACGUGGUCGUGCACGACAUGUAAUCAAUGGCAUAAUCACGCGACAAGGCUCUACCUCCUAUUGUACCCCGUUCUUCUGGUCGUGAUGUUCUAGAUGGAGACACCUCACCAGAAUCACCUUCCCUAUUCUCACUCAAGGUGUCUUCAGAGCCAGAAGAUCCCUCCUCACCAUUACUUCCGCUCGUGGAAGUUGUUUGGGGGGACAUCCUCCUAGCACUAGUCCCGACACUAGACCUAAUGGGUUCUAAGGGGAUCCCGGGGUCAAAAGCAGGAUCAGUGAGCAGACUAGGCAAGAAACUUAGUUCGUCGUCAUCAAUCUCAACGACUUUCUCCUUACCCUUCGACAUUCCCUAAAUAAUAACCAAAACACUACCACCAACUACUACCCCAAGCAAAGCAAAGAGAAAAGAAGUUAUCUAUAAACUAUCCGAGACCGAGGAGAAAGAAGUAAUACCUGAAGUAAUGUUUCAGUCGGAGAAAGGCAAGGAUGGGGGCUUUUAUGCCGAAACUUCUUUGCUAGAGAGACAGGGACAGAGACGGUGGAAUUGGCGAAUUUUCCCUUCGAGAGGUUUUAGGUUAUCUUAUUGGAAGAAAAACUCUUGGAUAGCCAGCAUUUAACAGCACCAAAUCCCGAGGGAGAAUAACCAUCGGUUUGAAUUCAAAUAGAGGGGUAGAUCUCUACCACAUCACCUCAUCCGAUAUUAAAUGCGACACGACUCUUGGCAGCCUUUUCAAGUCCCACGCGAGCAAGAACCGUUGAGUUUCUACUGCUGGUCCAUUACAUUGCCCAACACCAGAAACUGGGGGACCGGUGUUUGAGGGAAAUACUUCGACGAGACCAGACGUGAUGAACAGAUAUUUGGUGGCAGAGUUCUGCGAACAGGUAUGUCCUGUAAGAGCCUGGUAGCAGGGGAACAGGAGCAGGAAUAUUCUGCUCGCCCACGAAUAUGCCAUUCACAAGGACGAACUCCUGUUAGAGGCAUAAUGGCAUUCCUUCUAGGGGUCGAGGCGAGGAGACCCGGUCAACGACAGUUGGCAAGACGUGCGUUCCUAUCCAAGAAUCAAGGCACGAAGUCCAUCUCCAUUCGCCCACAAUGACGACAAUGGGGCAUCCACAUCCGAGGGUGGGGAGAAUAAUGGGCGUGGACUACGGAAGACCGGGAUUCAGAGGAAGCCUAUAAAAAGGUAGCCAACGAAGGUAAAAGUGUUAGACUUUUUUCUAUUAGAACUGAGAAAAGAGAACUCUAAGAACUGAGAUUAAAAAGAAGCCAUAAGAUUCGUGGCAAACAUUCCCAGAGCCUUCAUUUCUGACUUGAGCGUCGGAGGGUUUGCGCCGGGGAAACAACCGGCGUACUCUGACCUGUCUGUGUACGCAGGAACCUCGGGAGAAGAAGCUUUACGAGGAGUGAUCCUGAUCGUGGUGAAGUUGAUCGAGUAGAGACCCUGGUCGUAGAACGAGGACAACCAGAAUCUCGUAUCAACAUAUGUGUUAAUGCUCUAAGAGGAAUAUACGAAGGAAUAAUCCAUUGAUGUAAACAAUAUACAUAUUAAUUGAUGUAAGAUGAUGCUGGCGAAAAGAAAAACGUGACAAAGAGCCCUUCAAACUAGUACCACAAAUUAAACGUUACUUUUCUUUUUCUGUCUUAGAAGGAAGAUAAUAAUGAAAACCCAAAUUAAUUAUUUAAUUCCCACUUCUUUAGGACUGGAAGUCAAAUGAGUUGUUAAAAAAAUUCUUUGAAAUUAUUCGGCCAAAUUGUUGAAGGAUACUAUUACUCUAGUUUGUAUGAAUUAAACUUGUACAUAUGUAAGUUACAUAUAAGGAUACUAUAAUUCUAGUUUGCUAAGUUACUGCUCAUGUAAGUUACAGCCUUUGAAAAUAAUGUAAAAGGUAGUAAUAAGUUAUGGGACCUGCAGCCUUUGAAAAUAAUUUUUCGUCUGGAGAUAUGACCCAAUCUUCUAGGCUAUAAUGCAGCCGAAUUCUCAUUAGUUAAUCUUCUUUUUAAAUUUCAUGUACUAAAUUGCAUAGAUUCAUUAAAUGAAGCAAUUGUAUCAAGCAUAUAAAGAUUAUCAUUACCUGACAAAAAACUGAAACCAACUAGUUUUGAAUCAUGAAACAAACUGAAUUUUUCAUUUCCAAAUGAACAAGUAAAACCAGAUUUGUCCAAAAGAGAAAUGGAAAUCAAAUUAUGUCUUUUAGACAGAACAAAAUGUUUCAUCAACAUCUAAAUAAAAUCUUGUCUUUAAUAAUAAUCUAAAUUUUCUAAUUGCUUCAACUUCAACCUUCUUUCCAUUGCCGAAAUAGAUGUAUCUUUCACCAUUAUUGAACAUUUGGCAUUUCAAGCAACUCUACGAGACACAUUGAUGUGAGUGGUUACAACAAAAUCUAUCCAUCAUGUGUGUCUUGGUACCAAAGUUAAAUUGACCUCAGAACAAACCGAACCGUGCCCUUCAACUUUGCAAAAGAAACAACUAGUACAUUUCAAAUCAUUUGAUUUCUUUUUGUUGUUUCAUUUGAAGUUUUGUAUUUGCAACUUCCUUAUCUUUCUUCCUUUUCUUGUUCUUGUCCUUGUCCUUAUACCUUAUUGAAAUUAUAUUUAUUAAGAGCGUACUUAUUUCUACCUUUUCAUUCUUGAGAGAUCUCUUUUUAAUGUCCACAAAGAAUUCUUUAAUCGUAAUUUUUUUCUAAACAUUGAGCCCCUGAAAGCUUUUGGAUUGGCCUUCUUCAUGAUCAUGAUACACAUGUGAUUUGAUCUCUUCCGCAUUUCUAUUUCCUUCUUGUCAUCAGAAGUACUCAUCCAUAAGAGGUGGAGGAGAAUAAGCUCUUAAUGCAAUGUCAAAAUUCAUGAGUGAGAGAUCCAUUAAGAGGUUCUCUUGACAUGACUUGAAGUUAGAGCUAUUUAGCAUAGGAAUAGAGUUGAUGUUGGCAAUAAUAUUAGUAAGAGUCAUAACUGAACAGAGAACAACAAACAAACAAAACAAGCUCAUAUAAGUUAUAAAACAAAAAUAAAUUCAUAUAAAGGUAAACUCCAUCUCAAGAUACCGGACGCUCCAUUAAUAUUUUAUCUUUGGAUAGAGUAUUAAUUUAUAAGUGAUAUCUUGGUGUAGUAAUCAAAAAUUGAUAAUGAGAACAUGUCAAACAAUAAAUUUUCCUUUGCACCGAUUUAUUGUUCACAUGCAAAACCAAAAAAUCAUCACAUAUUUAUUGCCACAGAUGCACAUGCAAUUCUAUCAAAUAUGGAUCUUCCUUUGGUUCGAUUGAUGUUCACAUAAAUUACAUAAACUCAACUAUUUAAAUUCCAAAACAAAUUAAUUUCCACAACAGAGGUCACUUUGGUGACAUGUCGCUUCAAUUAAUUCAUCUCAAAAUAUAUAUAAUAUUUGAAUUUAAAGUUGUACCAAAAAUUACCCAAAAAAAUUUUGGGCCAAAGUCAAUAUCAACGAACAAUAGUUGGUCAACCGUUGAUCGGUUUAGGGCUGGACCAAUUGGGGUUGACCUGAACCAGAUUCUAAACCAGCAUCAAAUCUUGAAACCCUAAUUUCUUCCUUUUUUUUUCUUUCCUUAUGGCUGCCGUGCACACCUAAGUUAUACAACCGCUUGCCGACGCAGCCUGAUGGUUGCACCUUUCCUGGCCAGAAAACGGCCACCCUUUUUCUUAUUUACUUUUACUUUAUUUGCCACGGCUUGCUUUAUGGCAUGGCCAAUAGCCACGCUUUUCUAGUGGCCACAAAAUCUCAACGCCGGAAGCCAUGCAAUUUGUUUUGUUUUUAUGUGAUGGGCAUGGCCAUGGCUAACAAUUUUACCAUGAUUUCCUUAUAUAUAUAUAUUUAUAUUUAAUUUACUGAUUUAAUUUUCUUAAUACCAUAAGAAAACCACAAAUUGUUCUCAAAUUCAAUAAUACUGAAAUUAUUAAAUUAGAGAACAUCAAAACUUUAAUUAUUAAUUGAAAAUAAAGUCGAUUCUCAAUUAUUCAAUAUGAAGAGGCUUUGAUGCCACUUGUUAGAACAAUAAUCCUUUGGUGAAAGCCAUCACUUAUAAUCCAAAAACAUUCAUGUUGUAUACUAAGCAUCAAUAACAAAAUAUACAGAAGCGUAAUUGAAUCUAUAAUGUACAAUUACUCUCUAAAGUCGUGUAGUUGGCAUUCCAGAUCAAUACAUUCUCCUAGUGAACCCUUUAAGUUUAUAUGUGCUCUCUUCCUGAUGAUGGGAUGUCAUAAAGAAUCAAAUAAUAUGUGUGACCUAGGGACUAUAACCACUUAUAUAGACAACUUUUUCUGUUGUCUUUAGGUAUUCAAAUUUCAGCCCACCAUAAAAAUAAAAAUUAUCCUUAAGUAUCUACACAUUAAAAGUUCACACCCUAUUAAAUACAUUGAAGCUCAUAUUAUUAUAAAUGUUAAUAAAUUCACUUUUAAUUAGACUAACUUUAUAUAAUAGUUUGUAACGAGUAAUUAUUCACAUAUAAGUUCAACAUUAGAUUAAGAAUCCAAUAAUAUUGGAUUAAAGAUCCAACAAUUAAAGGUAACUAGUUAUUAAAAAAAUAAAAAUAAAAAUAAAAAAUGAAAAUCAAGAUAUUUUGAUGAGAAAGUCAUGUCCACGAGCCUAAUUGAUUGAUCAAGUAUGCAACAGUGCAGUGACCAUCUAUCUAUUCCUUCAAGCUCUAUAAAUAGCAAGCUCUUGUGCUUUAAUUUCCACCUGUCUAACAGCCUUCAAAAUAAUUGAAAAUUUAUCAACAAUGAAGAACUCAGUACUAGCACUAACAUUCUUCGUCUUUCUCUUUGCCUUUGCUGCAAAACCAUCUUUGGCUGCUCGUCAUGAGCCUUUAGUGCUUCAUUCCGAUGGCCAGGAGCUCCUCACGGCUACCAGCAAUUGCGAUAUCGUAACUCAAUUUGAGUGUAAUGGUACGUAAUUAUUAUUGAGGACAUUAUCCUAAUAAUUACUGGGUUAAUAAUACAACUGAGCUAAUUUUUUAAUAUGAGUUAGGUCCAUGGACUUUUAAAAUAUGGCCAUAAUUGGCUGUUGAACAAGUUUUAACCACUUAGUAAUUCUUAUAUGAAAUAUAACUGCAGGCAAGAGCGCUCAUGGCCAGAACUGGUUGGUGUAAACGGGGAGAUUGCUGCUGCUACGAUUAUCUGCAAUCAUUAUGGCUGGAUGGAUGGUCAGGAUUAACUGCUUGUUUAUAAUCACUUAACUAUGUAUUAGUAAAAUAAAUGAACAAGUAGUGUUGUUUAAUAAAGCAUGCAUGGAUGUGCGUGAUAUCCAACAAUCGGGUUCUACGAAUGAGUGUAAUAAUACAACCUUUAUGUCUAC
RNAcentral lists this long non-coding RNA (83393 nucleotides) under Citrus maxima (pomelo). Its description in RNAcentral is "long non-coding RNA (CMAX_LNC003028)". The stretch from base 9818 to 9954 matches the Rfam family "Small nucleolar RNA Z247". Lineage: Eukaryota; Viridiplantae; Streptophyta; Magnoliopsida; Sapindales; Rutaceae. The record is from RNAcentral.